AUUUACUUGGAAAGUGUCAUCACAGCCACUUAAUUUUCCUGCACAUUUUCUCAGCAACCAAACAGAUACAAGAUCCUUCUCAGAAAACACAUUUUAAAACACAAACAAAAAAACCAAAACAAAACAAAGAUCAGCCUCAGCGCGGAAGUGAAUAGCGCGUAAAAGGAAGGCUCAGAUUCGCCUUUUAUCAGACAAGAAAAAGAUGACCGUCAUGGUUGCAACCACAGUUGCUUGUGAAACAAGGCACAAAAGGUCCCAUCACACAAACCAUCCGGGUUGCCCCGCCAAGAAACGGACAUUCCCAGUGCCUGACUUACUCUGAAAACGUCAUCACAGCCUUUUAUGUUGCCCAUAUGAACAGAGAGAGAGAGAGAGCUGUUGAUUUUCCAGAGAAUCAAGACAGCCUCUGAUAUAUAUGUAUAUAUAUAUAUAUAUAUAUAUAUAUAUAUAUGUACACACAUGUGCAUGAAAAGAAAGGAAAGAAAAGAAAGAGCCAAGGAAAAGGGCUGUUGACGGGCGUAGUAGAAGGAAUCAUCGGCUCCGACGACCAUGAGAUUCAGAGAGGGGCAACCACCCUUAGAAACUCCCCAUCCCUCCGACACAGUCCCUGGAGCCUCACUCACACACGUGUAUGAAAAGAAAGAGCGAAGGAAAAGGGCUGUUGAUGGGCGUAGUAGAAGGAAUCAUCGGCUCCGACGACCAUGAGAUUCAGAGAGGGGCAACCACCCUUAGAAACUCCCCAUCCCUCCGACACAGUCCCUGGAGCCUCAGUCUUAAACCAAUGGGGUUUAGCCCUAAGAUGUUAUUUGGUAAUCUGAUCAUGAUUUGCAGGCAAAGGUUGUGUUUUUCAGCCUGGCUCAAAAAUUGUGGAUUUAAGGUUCGUGAAAUUUAAAUCCAAUGGCACAAAAGCAAAGAGACCCCUAGAACAGAUCCAGAAAACACAGGGAGCCAAAAAAAAAAAAAAAACGCAAUUUUUUUGGUUUUCCUUGGGGGUUUUGCAUGAAUUUUCUCGGAAAUCAAACAAGGAUGAAUUUUCCCGGAAAUCGAAUGGGGGAUGGAUUUUCUUGGAAAUCAAACGGGGGUUGCAAAAACAAAAAAUAAUAACAUGAUUAGAUUAGUACCUGCGAGGAUUGAGAGUGGCAGAGGAAAAUAGGGCUUUUUAAGGGAUUCUCUCGUCCGGAGGGCAAGUUCAGAAAAGGGCUUCUUGAUGCCCCAGUGAGAGAAGUGGAUGGCCCUUUCCAUUUUUAUAUUUAGUAGAGAGAGAAAACAAGGAAACAAAUCAUGAGAACAAUUAUUCUCUCUAUAUAAAUAAUUAUUAAUUAUCCAUCUUUAUUUUGAUUAAAUCACUACCAAAAUUUGAUUUUUAUAAAUUAAAAUUAAUUUGAUAAGAUAAAUUAUUAAUAAUUUUAAUUAUUUAAAUAAAUUAAUGUUAAUAAAAAAAAGUUAUUACCACAUAUUUUUAAUAAAAUCUUAAAAAUUAAAUAUCAAAUAAAAUAUUUUAUAUAAAUUAAUUUAAUUUUUCAUUUAAAAUGUAAUAAUACAUGUUUUAAUAAAAAUAUUUAAUUUUUUAAAAUAAAUAUUAUCUUCAAUAAGAUGGACUCCUUUCAUCUAAUAAUAUGAUACUAAAGACUAUUAUAAUAUCAUAUAUAUUAUAUUUAUAUAUAAAUUAUUUUUAUUCUAUAAAAUCAAAUAUUUCUUAACUCAAUUCUAACUUUAUACACUUUCAAAAUUCAUAUUUAUUAUUCUUAAAAUUCAAAUACCGAAUCUACUAAUAUUUUCUAUUUAAUCAUAUUUAUGUCAAUUAUAUUUACAAAAUAACUUUAUAAUAUAUAUUAUUGUUAUUUUCCUUUUUUUUUUUUAAGUUUUUCCAAACAUUCUUAUAAAUUUUAAAUAAUUUUUGCUCGACCGAUAUCCGUUUACCGAUCUUUACUCUGUAUCUAUCCAAAAUAAAUGAAAGAUAGUUUUUUACAACAAUUUUUUUAAUGAUUUUUAAAUCAAAAGUUAGUUUUAAAAUCUGAAAUAUUUUUAAUCCACUAUUAUGUUUUUAAAAUUAUAUAAUUAUUUUUUAAAACAAUAAAAACAAAUAAAAUAAUUAAGGUUAUGUUUAGUUUAUUAAAAAAAAUGUUUUAUCAUAUUUGAUUUAAUAGUGAAAAUAAAAAUAUAAUAAUAAUUAAAAUUACUUAAAAACCAAUGUAGCUUUAAAAUUUUUUUUUUGAUCUUUAGCUUAAAAAAGAAAAAUAAAUAAAACGAAUUUGACAAGAUAAUUAAUCUCUCUGAAAGGAAGAGACUCAAAAGUUUUGGAGGAAGAAAAAAAGGGAGUAAGAUUUGAGGGAUAAAAAUAAAGAAGGAACAAGUGGGUGGGUAUUGCAUUAUAUCCAUGAGUUGAUCAAUAACUAGCUCCAUUUCCUUUCCUUUAUUUUCUUGCCAGCCAAACAAAAUCUUAAGUCUGGAACCAUCAUCCCAGAAACCAUUUAUUAAAAGCCAUACGCCAAGGAUUCGUAUAACACCAUGGAAUCAACCAUCAUCACCCUCUCAAACCUACAUGCCAUAGCUACACAGACUCUACUCCCAAGUUCCCAAAUAACCAAGCUUCAUAUCUACUAGCUCCAAAAUGGUUAAACAAGAUGAAAGAAGGAAAGGAAGAGAUUACUUGAUGAGAGCCUGGUAAAGGCAGAUCUGCAAAAAUUACAAGCCUUGUCCACAUAGCUUUAUGUGGUCCCAUGGUAUCUAUUUAUAGCCCCAUGAAAGCAGAAUUACUUCUUCAUUACCAAAUGUCAGCAUAGGCAAUGCCCGACCUCCAUCUUCCCAUGGCUGCCAAGCCCUUUUAUCAAUAUGUGAAGAUGCAAACCAAAAUGGUUAGCCCAUCAUCCAAAGCUAGCUCCUCCUCCUUAUUUACACCUAACGGUUUCCCUGAUUCACAACAAGUUCAAUUUCCUUGCUCGACAUCUUUCAGAUAGAACAGAACAAUUACGAUUACAAUCACAAAAUGUAACACCACCCCACAUCUUCCUCUGUUUAUCUAAGCAUUACAAGACCUCAAAGUUGAUGUUCCAUCAUCAUAAUAGGCAUGGUGUAUUUCCAGUCUCAAACAAGUUAAGGUUCCAUCCUAACACCAUAAUGGUGGGUUGUUUUACUUCAGACAACGAAUCUGAGUCAGUUAACAGGCAAAAAGAAACAUUCAAUAGUUCAAGAAGAUCACUUAGAAUUUUCUGAAAACCUCAAAACCGUUUUCAUUUAUAAUUACAAACCAACCCAAAAAUUGAACAAUACGAGGCACUGGGCUGAACAAUCACCUCAGAACUCUGGUAAAAAAGAUGAAGGUUUCUAUAGAUAAAAUGGCCUUUGCAAAUAAAGCAAUGAGAAAAAUGGGAUAUAAAUUAAGGAAUGAUAGAAUGAAAAUGUUGAAAGGAAUUGCACAUGGCUUCAAAGAAUGAAUAGAUUUGGUACCCUUGCCGAGAAAUUACAUGGCUGCCUUGCCCCUCUGUUGAAGUACUACAUCAUGCACAACUUCCCCUGCUGAGUUAACAAAGUAGGUUUCCUGCCAUGGAAAAAGAACAUUUGUUGGUGCUUCAACAAGAACAAAUUUAGUAAAAAAAGACGAAUACUCACAAUCUCUAAGGAGCUGACUCUAUGAAGAAGGAACCCAUUAACCAUUCCCCUGAGGAAACAAAGAAAAAAAUUUCAUAUGUAUGAACCAAUGUAGAACACCAUUAGGAACUAUGAACAGAAAUACUCACUUACUAAAACCUGAUAUUUGAUUUACAGAAGCAAGAGGAAGUUUUUCAUCAAUUGAACCUGGGUUCCUGAUGUAGGCUAUACUAUCUUUACGAGCAUAGUCACUACAUCCCUCCCCACUCAGGUACACAUCCUGAUGAGCAAAUGCAUGGAUAAAGCGUUACUUUCUUCAUAGGCACCAGAAAGAUUCCAAAUUUGACAUAUCAGAAAGUUGUUCAUUCAAUUCAUUAGGAACUGUCUUAGAUUUUCAUAUAUAUUGAAAAUUUUGGACUUUGAUCAUCUCAAAAGCAAGUUCUCUAAAGAACCCAAAAUCAAAACCUUGGGCAUGGGAUGUCUUCACCCAUUGAUACUCAAUGGGGAGAGCCAUAAAUACUUACCACUCCAAACUUAUAAAAAAUAUGGUGUAGAUGCUCAUAAAGUUGUAUUUCUAUUCGUUCCCUGUUUCCUUCACAAACAGCCAAUGAGCAGAAACCAACAACUAUGCGCCUGGAUCAUAAGGAGGAAAAAAGGAGACAAUUAGUACUUGGGAAUUGGGAUGGAUAGUUUCUUUAUUAAGUUAAAUAUGGAGUUGAAAUGGUAGGGGUGCUUGGCAAUGGCAAUAGGACAGCAAACAAUGAAGGUCCAACAUAGUAACCAGAGAAAACAAAAGGAAAACGAAUGUUUUAACUCAACAAUUUGGGUUAAGGCAAAAUUUAAAUGAAAACCAGAAUUUUAUUGUUGAAAGAAAGAAAAUUUGUGAAAUAAAAUUAAGUUGAGAAGUAGAUUAUCACGCAUCAGAACCACUCUGAACUGACAUGAUUUUCAAAUUUUUCAAAAUUUUCCAGGCAUUACAACCUUGCUUAUUCCUAGGUUCAUGCAAUUAUAAACAGCCAAUAUGGUGCAAUGUAACCUUACCAGUCGCUAUCUGAUGUUUCUAGUGUCUUUGUCAGCCCAUGUAAUUGAUCAUUUCCAGCACCAUUUAACGGAUUCAUAAGCAUAAAAUCCUUCAAGUUUCAAAGAGGAGACCAAUUAAGAGGAAAGAAGAAUGAAAUGCGGCAUAAAGGAGCAGAAACCAAAAAACAGAAACAAAUGGGGGAUAAAAUGUGUGAUAAAUACAUCUAUGGGAUAUUGAUAGUGUAACUAAAUGAAAUAGAUAUCAAAUCAAUCAUAUACACAUAUAAAUACAACACAGAAAUAAGCAUGGCCAUGGUGAAAAAGGGCUGCAAUGUGGGUUGUAACCAGAGAAUGGAAUAUGGACAAGGAGCAUAAAAAAUGAUUUGGCAGGCCAAGAAAUGGCUAUUUUAAUAUGAUGAAAAAGAAAAAGAACAAAAAAAAUUCAUUAUGAACAUGACUUGAAGAGUACACCUACGCUCAAAUAAUGACCAAGUGAUCAACUUUAAAAUCACAUUGCUAACCUCAGCCCUACCCCUCAUGGAAAAAUGGAAAAAAUAAAUAAAAAGAAAAAAAAUUCUUAGAAGGCCUUGAGAAGGGUAAACCUGCUGGGACUCAAACCCGGAACCACCCCACAUCCCCACCCUCAACCCAAGCUACUCGAGCCACGCCUCAAGGGUGAUAAAGAUCUAACCUUCAGCAUUGAAUAAAAAAUAAGCUAAAUGUGCAAAAAAUAUCCAGUAUUUUCUCAUGCAUUUUAAUUGCUUACUAGACUAGAUAGAAUCUCCAGUCAUUGAUGAGAACAAAGAACUCAGUGUCUUUAUUAUUAUUAUUGAAUAAAAAAUAAUCUAAAUGUGCAAAAAUAUCCAGUAUUUUCUCAUGCAUUUUAAUUGCUUGCUAGACUAGAUAGAAUCUCCAGUCAUUGGUAAAAUUCAAUAAUUCCAAUUUCCACCAGUUGAUUUGUCAAGUCCCUAAUUAAAUAAUGAAAGAUAAAAUACUUUGAUGAGUUAUAUACUAAAAUAUUUGUGCUUCCCAAUCUAAUUCUAACAAGAACCCUACAAAAUGCACACCUUAAUCCAACUCAACCAACACUCAAUCUUGCGAUUGCCUCAUAGUCCACAAGGUACAUCGGAGAGACCUAACUUAUCUUGAUGUUACAAGAUUUCACAUGAACAUCUGAAUACAUCUCCUGGGGCAUGGUAAAGAUGAAUAUAAAAACAAAAUGAAAUCAAUACAAGAAGUUGAUAGCCCCUCUAUGAUCAUAACUGGGGUCAGCACAAUCAGUAACAUAAGAUUCAUGGCGUAGUAUCGCAUUCCAAACAAUAAAAUAUUGAAGUGUAUCAUAAACUCAACACAAGCAUAUGCAAUGUCAAUUAUCAUUAAGUCAACAAUGAUAUUAAACAUUGGUAUAAACAAUUGAAACAAUGACAACACAAAAGGAAAAAACCUUAUACAACUAUUAAUCUAUCCUCUUUGGAAGUCUUUUAUCAUCUUCCACAAAUUUCCCAUUUUCCUCCAUAUGCUGCACAAAAUCCGACCCCAUAUUUUUUGUAUCUUUGUCAUCAUUAAAGGAAAUAAAUGCAUGCAACUUUUAAAGAUUUGAGGCCAUGUGAAAAACUUGUCAUUUGAUGUCAAGUUUUUUUAUAUGAAAAAGUUUUCCAAAAUGAGAAUGGCAGAACUAUCAAUCUAUCUUCAUCUAGGUUUGGAGCUUCUUGAGUCUUUUAUCAAUUAUCAUCCACCAUAAAAUUCCAGUUUUCUUCUGUAAAUUGCUCAACCUCCAACAUAAUUUUUAAUUUUUUUUCUAAUUAAGAUUAAAUACAUGCAUAUUUUGAAGAUUAAGCCAUGUGGAGAAUUGUCAAUCAAUCGUAAGUUUUUCCUAUAUCAAAAGCAUUUUUUAAAAUUUUCGGCCUUGUUGGAAAAAAGACCUAAUGAGAUGGGUUUGUAUCACAAAACACUAAGGAUUGACUCAAAAGUCCCAAUGAAAUUAUAGCUACUGUAAAAACCAUGUAACCGCUUUCAAGCUUAAACCCAUAUUACAAGAGGAUGGUGGAAGAGGCCUCUCUUCUGACUGACAUAAUAACCAUGAGAAGUAUUAGCCAACAAAUCUUAAAUUGAGCAAAUUCAACAAACCAGUUGAUACCUUAAAUGCCCCAGUAUCCAAACUAAUAAUGUCUAAGGUCUUCCCAAAAGGUAUUUUGAUCUGCUUUAGGAAGUAACCUGUUCCUUGUCCUCUUGAAACUCUGGUACUGUACCUACAAGAAUUACAAUUCAGGAUUACCACACAAAGAGACUAAACCAAAAAGACUGUUACAUUAAAAACUACAUUGGAGUCCAAGUUUUGUAACAAUGAAAUUUCAAAAGAUGAGCUACAAAAAUGACACAACUGAUUGCAAAGUGGAUGGCAUACCAGGGAACUUUCAGUGUUGAAAAACGCCAAGUACCCUGUAAAAGAAGAUGUCAUCUUCUAAGAUUGUUCCUAACAGAUGAAACCAAUGAAACCUAAUUAAACUCAGCAGUAAUUUAUUUUCUAAUCACACACCUAUAAAGCAAAACAAAAUAAAACUACAGAAUUAAAUAUGAACCACUAUUCCAUUACUCCAACCAAAGCAUGGUUUCUAUUAUUUCAGUUAAAUUCACAAAAAGUUAGGAGAGAAUCAUUUCUACAACUUACCCAGAGUGAAGCAAUGCAUAACUUUGAUUAAAUUUGGCUAAACUAUGACAACUAAAGCUUCCAUAUAAAUGGAGUGUAAGCCUGAAGGUGCCACAAGAAAGUUCAUAUAACAAAUAGUAAAAGGGCUUCCCACAUUGAAUUUACUAGCCAUGGUCUUACAUUCUGUGUGAGUGGAUCGUCUUCCCCAAGUUCACUAAUGUUUAUCACAAACCUUGCCUCAUAAGUCUUUGCCGCCUUCUCCAUCUUCAUGGGAAAAAACAAUUCAAAUUAGAACAGGGAAAAUAGAAUAUAAACUCAAAAUGCUAUUAAUGUUAGUAGACGAUAAUCAUUUAAUGCAACUAAGUUCAAUAACAGAGGGGGGAAAUAACAAAGCCUAAAAACAGAGAAGGUGGAAGGCAGAAGUAACUUGGAUGAAUUAGAACCAAGAAGACAAGACAAGAUCAAAACCAACAGAUGAGAAGGCUGACACAAACAAUUGAGAGAGAUCAAAAACUGAACCAUAUAAUAAAAAACUCACUCACAUGAUUAUUCUUUGGCCAAAAGAUAAAGGUUAUGUUUGGUUCCAAAAAGUACCAAGGAAAGAAAAAAAUACUAAGAAAUAUUAUUAUGUUGCAUAUACAAUUAAAAACGGAAAAAGAAAGAUCUUCUAGGGUUCAACAACUGUCAUAUUAAAAAAAUAAUAAAAAUAAAAUUUCGAUCCCAGUAAAACCUAACACAAAAUUCUUUCCUCAAAGCAAAAUCAUUCACAUAGAAAGUAAUUGAGAAAGAAAUAAUAAACUGUUUGGUUGCUGAGAAAAUGGAGACAUAGAAAAGGAAAUCAAAAUUUUGAAACUCUAUUAUUUCCAUUAUUUGAAGGCCUGGAAGAAAGAGGGAAAAAAACUUCCACUCUUACCUUAAUUUAGGUUGUUUUGUCAAUUUCGAGAGGGGAAAAAACAGGAAAUUAAUUUCAAGCGAUUUCACUUUCAGCAUUCUCAGCAACCAAACGGAGCGUCUGAUAAAACUAUCAUAUCCACCAACAGAGCCAAAACCAAAUAUACCCACCAUCAACAUCUUAAAACAAAAUCCAUAUAGAACGAGAAAAACCCAUGCUUUUCUUCAAUGAACAAAAGGAAUCAAUAGAGAGGAUGAGAAAUAGACCUGUUUGAGAAGAUGGGUUUGUUGAUUAAGAGGUCUAAAUCCUCCUCUAACACUGAUAAAGUAAAGGUCAAGAGGCCUGCUACUGCCACUGCUGCUGUGGGACAUGGGCUUCUCCCAAGGCCGACCCAAGUUGAAUGCAAGCAAGACAGCCAAGCAGAGAGACAACUGUGUUAUAACAGUGCGAACCCAUGAAGGUUUCCCCAUUGUUAACACAGGUCUCACAGCCUCAGCUAUUCAACUGGUAAUUGAUUUCACUCAUAGAUCUGAAGAUAUAUGAGGAACGUAACCGCCGUCACCCGUAUCUCUAAUCUCCUCAAUGUUAUCUGUAGGGACCCCUCCCACACGUGGCACACAUUUUCAUCCGAGUUAAUCUCAUCCGGAUUUCCCCAAGAGUACACGUGGUGCGCUUCUCCUAUCCGGACUCCCUCAAGAAGAGGCACACGACACUCACAAACAUAACAUCCAGAUGACUGCCACAGCGCAUCCGGACGACCGACAUACACUAUCCGGGUAUAUAUAUCCGGAUCAUUGAUUGAAGUAAGCAAGUCUUACACGUUAUUACAACAACCUGUCAUGGCCCACGUUCCGCCACCUGUAGGGUGAAAGGACAAGAAUGAAGUGACGGCAAGUCACUUCCUGCGAUCACUUCCCACGAUUUCUGACAGUCGCAGCAACUACCACGAUCUCUAUCAGCCGCCUAUAGGGUGAUGAUGGCCCUGCCACCACCUAGUGUCAUCAUGACAACACAAAAUAUCUCCCUACCAUUAAAGAGAGAAACAAAGCUUCUGAUAUUAUAUAUAUGAACCUUCACACAAGGAGUAAGGUAAGCUUGCUAUACCUAGUAAAAUGCCAACUGAUUUAUCUCUCUCUAACCAUGGCUGACAAAACCAUCGGAGGGUGCGUCCGGACACCCUGUCCGGACGCCUUUUGCAGGUAGUACGAUUGAAUCAAGAAUCUAUAUUAGUUGAGAUCGUGCAUCCACCCAUUUGGCAACUAAGUGGAUCACCAGGGAUGCGACGCUUCAACAUUAUCAAUUGCUUGAUUAAGAUAUUCGCUAAUGAAGCUCCACUUGGCAGGCAGGACCCAUUAUUGAAGGGAAAUGCCUUUAUAGUUCGUUUAUAUUAUGGACUCUCGGACUAAAAUCGCUUUGUCAUAUUUGAAACUUUCCUCACAAACAAACGCACCAUCAGCCAUUAAACAUCAUAUUUCAGCAUUCUUUUUUUGCACAUUGUCACAUUCCUAUCUCCUAAUUUUCAAAAAUUAUUUUAAAUUUAAAAAUUGAGUUACCACUUCAAAAUAUAAACUUUUAAAAUAAAAUUAUGUACAUUUAAAUCCAUACUAAAUAUGUGUAUUUGCGUUUAUUGCCUUGUAAUAAUAUUUUAUUCUUUAUUAUUAUUAUAAUUUAGAUGAGUUGGUUCGAUCUAAUAUAAUAUUUGAACAAAUUUGGAUAUUUAUUUUUAAUAUUCCGAUUAGACUUUGGUUCAUUUUUUAAACCUCAUCUUAAUUUGGAUUUGACUUGGGAGAUACCUCUAAUGAAAAUUAAUAUGGUUCUCUUCAUACAUUCUAUUCUACUUUUCUUUUAAUAUCUUUGUUUAUUCUCUCGUAUUUUCUUAUUCUUAUUCUUUUAUUUCACAACAUGUUAUCAACAGAGUUAUGAAUAUAUAGAAAAAGAGAAGAAUACUUAAGGUAGAAAAGAAAAAGAGAAUAAUUCAUCUACAAAAUUUCUUAUAGAUAUGUAGUCUUAUUCUCUUCGAAUGAAAUAUGAAUAGUAUGCAUUGUAUUAUUAUAAUUUUUAUUUACUUUAUCUCAUAACCAGAAGUUAUGUGAAUCAUAUUUCAUAUAAUUACAUAUUUUAAUUAUUUAAUAACUAGAAAUUAUAUAGAAAGUUUUUUAUAACCAGAAGUUAUGAAAAAAUAUAUGUCCAAUCUUCAUAACUAGAUGUUAUGGAGUAAAUUACAAAAACACAAAUACGUAGUCGGAAGCUAUGCAUAAGAUCCCUAAUUACUUUUUAAUUGUAUUAUAUAUCUAAAAGUUAUAUAAAAUAACAUUAUAUGGCCAGAAGCUAUAUAAUGAAUAGUUCAUAACAUGAAGCUAUGUACAAAUCCAAAAUUACAAAUAUACGACCAGAAGCUAUGUAUAUAACUCAUAAUUAUUUGUUUUUAAUUAUAUAGUUGUGGACCCGCAAAUUUCACGUGCGCCCCCACUCGAUCGACGAGACUCGCUUUUUGUUGGUGAAAAAUUAAUUUUGGAAAAUUCAGAGUCACCACUUAUUUUAUUUUUAUUUUAAAGGGAAAAUAAAAUAAGAAAUAAAACUCUAAAAAAAAUGACUCCAUAAUUUUUGGAAAAGCGUGUCUUUGAAAAAAAACCCGAGUCUAAGUCCGGGGAUUAGGUUACUUAUUGGGUAGGUACCUCUAGGAGGUAGCAUCUUUCUAAGCCCUAAAGAAGUCUCUACUGACUAAAUUGGGGGUAAUAUAGCAAUUAAUUGAUUAAUUGGGGAUACCAAGAUAGGUUAAAGUGAUUUCAAAAAAUAACAUGCCAAAUAGGAUCAAAUUACCAUAAAAGAGAGUUAGGGUGCAUACUUGGACGACUUCUCAAGAGCUAUCAUAAAACAUGAAAGUUAGUAUUGAGAUACAUCACACAACACGCAUUUUAUCAAAGAUAAUCAAACAAUGAUCAAAUAUAUAUCAAGGCAAUCAAACAGGAUAGCAAGCAUGGACAUAGUACGCAACGACAAUCAUAUUCAUAGGGUUUAGAAAGUGGGUAUUAGGGAACGUACCUGGAUAGCAUUUAUAACUCCUAAUGCACUUCCUCAAGACAUGGGGGUUAGAUAAUAAAUAAUAAAUAGUAAAUCCUAGCAUGCUUAUCUAAUUAAUUAGCAAAAAUUAUCAGAAUACGGAAUAAUUAAUUAUCAUACAUAUCUUGUAUACAAUUCCUAAAAAGAAAAAUGUAAAUAUAAUUACAAUAAAUAGCAGGGUGGUAGUAAAAAUAAAUUUUGAAAAAGAUUUUCUUAUGUAGGGGUUUCACCAAUUCCCCAAAUUAAUAUACACAAAUUUAGCCUAAAAUUAUCCCAUUUAUUUGGGACCACAAGCUUUCAUUCGCGUUUUGUUCAAAACCAAAAUUUUUGUUGAAAAUUGAGAAAGAUGUGAACCGAUUAAGAUACGGUUGCAUAUUAUUUUUUAAAAAAAAGAAAAGAAAAGAGAUUUUGAUUCUAGAGGCUUUAAAUGAAUUUUAUAAAAAUAAAAUAAAAUCUUAAAAGGUUUUUUUGAGAAAAAGAGUUUUGCUUUAAAAUAAAAGAAAUUAACUUUUAAAAUAGCAAAAAUAGAAAACAAAAUAUCAAUCAAAACAAAAGGAAACAAAGAUCACAAAAUAAAGAUUUUAGAAAUUAUUGUCAAUUAAAGUGGUGAGAGUAAAGGCCAACCUUCAUGGGUUUCCAAUGGCCCUAAAAAAAAAAAAAAAAAAUUUGACCAACAAUUACUAAGGCAACAAAUUUAUGACUUCCUAAUCAAACAAACUAACAAAAUUAUCAUACAAAAACUAACAUUUAGAUUUCAAGAAACAUAUGAAUAACUAGAAUUAAAAAUGUAAACUUUACCUCACAGGAUCAAUUAAACUAAAGAAUUAAGAUUGAUAACACGUUCAAAUUAAAAAUAAACUAGAAUUUAAACUAAUCGGAAUUAAAACUAUAAACUUUACCUUACAAGACCAAUUAAACUGAUAGAUUUAAGAUCAAUAACUCAUUCAAAUUAAAAAUAAACUAAAAUUAAACUAAUUGGAAUUAAAAAUAUAAAUUUUACCUCACAAGAUCAAUUAAACUAAAGACUUAAGAUCAAUAACAUAUUCAAAUUAAAAAUAAACUAGAAUUAAACUAAUUGGAAUUAAAAAUAUAAAUUUUAUUUAAACUUUCAUGUAGAUUAAAAUAAACUAGCAUAGAACUAAUGAAUUGCAAUCAUAAAAGAGAGACAUUUAAUCUAAGAAAAAUAAAAGAUUGUUCGAAAUCGAGAUUUAAAAGAAUUUAUCACAAACAAUUAAUUAAACCAAUCAACAAAAACCCAAACUAAAAAAAAAAGAAAUAAGAAAUAAUGUAUCAAAAACCGAAAACUAACCUGUAUUGUAUCGGAAAAAUACUCUCUUGAUGUGUCAAAAUGACAGCCCAAUUAGUCUUUCAAGUCCUCUGCCAUUCCCCAAAAAAAAAACUCUUGCGCGUGCCCUCUCAAAAAAAGAUUGCCUCUUGUAUGUGGAUCUCUGCUCCAAAAGAAAAGUCCUCUCCCUGCGCCAAAGAAAUAAAAUUCCCGUGUCUGUCUUCUCUCUUACUUCUUCAUCAAUUUUCAGCCGUUGAAGACCCUCGUCAAAUGCACAUAUAUUUAAUAGAAAAUUCAGUCACUUCACUAACAACAAGGAGUCAUAAUUUCCUCCACUAUUCUGCCAUAAUUUUCAGCUCACUUAUCAAUGCUCCUUCACCAAAUUUCCAACGCAUUUCAUUGUGAAUUUUCAGCCAUGAAAAAAAAGCUUCCAUUCACAGCCACAAUUCCCGUGUGUCCACCACAAAAUUCAGUUUUCAAGAAUUCACCUUUUGCAUGAAACUACCAUCAAAGGAAUUCUCCAUAUGCAGCCAUAUAUUCCGUGAUUCAUCCAUGGAGAUUUAUAAAUUCAAGGCCAUUAUCUCCAUUAAACUAUUUUAAAAUUCAUCCAUGGAGAUUUAUAAAUUCAAGGCCAUUAUCUCCAUUAAGCUAUUAUAAAAUUCAUCCAUGGAGAUUUAUAAAUUCAAGGCCAUUAUCUCCAUUAAGCUGUUAUAAAAGUCAUCCAUGAAGAUUUUAUAUGCAAGGCCAUUGAAACCUGAUUGGAAUCAAGUAAUUAAUAUUCACAAAGUGGCUGCCCAUUCUCCAUCAGAAUCAAAGUGUUAACACGGCUGAAAGUGAAUGAAAGCCUUUCCCUUUAACCAAGGCAUCAACACGGCUGAAUGUGUAUAGAAUCUUCUUCAUUAAAUCAAGGCGUCAACACGCGUAAAGGGGAUGAAAUUCCUGCCCGCUUCGAUGGAGAUCUCCCCUCCUUCCCAGAAUAGUGCAGCUGAGUUCCAACCCCCCACCUCAAAAAUCUGAUUCUAAAUGUCUCCGACCUGUUGUGUGUGUAGCUCUCCCGAUCUGACCUGUGCGCGUGUUCUUGGAAAAUCAGAAUUGUGCGUGGACUCCUUCAUGCGGCUGUGGAGACUUCCUGAAGUGGUGUGUGGCUGUUAGUGCGUGGUCCCCAUGCUUGAGAUUCAACUUAAGCACAUGCAUGCAUGGAUUCCUUCAAUGAGAUAUCCUUACUCAUUUUUUGCAUGAGUUUGUUGACGUAAGUUACUAGGGAGAGGGUAAAUCCUUUCUUUCUUUCGCUAUUAGUUGAUCUAAAGGCUUUUAUGGUUAUUGAGUGCACUAGACUAGAAACAUACUUGCCCCAUUAGCAUGCAUAUAACGGAGCAACCAGCCCCCUUCAACAUCUCUCAUAACGUGUUCUACACUGUUGAAAGCUAAAUCCACAUGAGGUGUGUGAUGCAUAGCUAAAAAAACGCCAGUGACUAAAGAUUUUCGGAGAAGUGAUGCAAAACCUGUCUAGUCCUCUCUCACUGCAAGUCAUAGGGCCAGAAAGUCAAGCAUGGCCCAGCCCGUACCUCUCUUUCCUAGCUUCAUCUUGGCUACGCUCGAUCAUGAAACUAUCUCACCUCCGACUUUUUUUCACUAUUUACUCUUCUCUCAUUCAUGCACCAUACAUCUUAUCUGUAAUGAUAAAUUCAGAAUUCAAUCUGCUGUUUCAGUCUUAACCUCAAUGAUUGCUGGUUGAUCCUGAACUUCAUGCUUAUUUGCCCUUUGUGCAACUCUUAUUUUUUUCUUGGAUUGGUGCACAUAUUCUGCUGUUAUAAUAUGGAUCUUGGGAGUAGGCUUACUUGAUGAGGCAACAUUAAAACUUGACCUUUUUCCCGGCUCGGUGGAGAUAUUUCUGAGCCUAUUGUAAGUGGACGGUACAGAGAACAAGAAUGAAAGACUUCAAUAUUGGCUUCCCACAGGUUAUGGGUCCCGUCUGCACUGUCUUGAUGACAUAAUCACAGGGCUUGUAAAUCCGUUGUUUCGGAUCACACAGAAUAUGCAGAUAACAGAACCUUGUUAGCGCCCUCGCCUAAUCCUCCUUGAACGUCUGUAUAAUCAAAAGCCCCUCAUCUUCUUCCCAAGACGUCAAUUUCUUUUUGUAUGGAAGUUUCCAUAUAUUCUUCUAUGGGCAGCAACUUCUUUUCUUCCUUGUAGUCGUGUCUUCCUUAUAUGCAUGGUGGAGGUAACUUUAUAAAAUAAUGCAGCUGUCACUUUCCUUUCUCUAAAAUUUUGGUGAUCUUCCUUCCAAAUAGAUGGCAGCCCGUUUUUUAGAAAAAUAAUAAUAAUAAUCUUAUUUCCAUCCUUCAUUCAGCCGUGAUCUGCUUUCCUUUCUUCAACACUAUAAAUCUCAUUUCCAUGUUGCAUAGAAUAUCCCCACAUAUAUGCAGCCGUGUACAUUACAUCAAGAAUCUUCUCCAAUGUGUGCAUUCGAAUCUCAUGCCAAAAUAAAAAAAGAAUUAAAAUUAGUAAAGGUCAUGAAAUUGAAAAUUAAAACUAAUUUAAAAUUAUGCAAUUAAAAAAACAUUAUGUCUAUCAUAGGUACACAAAAAUAAUUAAGACAUCAGUUUACACAAUUAAUCAUCAAUCUCAUGCAAUAUUCUAUCAAAUAAAUAAAUAAAAACAAAUAACUAACCAAAUAAUAAUAAAUAAACAAGUAAAUAAAUAAAUAAAAUAAAAUAAAAUAGAUAAAUAAAUAAAUAAGAAAUCGAGUACAUGCAAACAUUAAAAGUGCAAAUCAUGCAAAUUAUGUAAGUCAUGUAGGAAUUACUGAAAAGGUGACAUAGGUGGGCCAGGAUGCCUAAGUGGACCUAAAGUGAGUGCGUGUAGGCUAGAAGGUGCCUAGAUGGGUCUAAGCGGGUCAAGGUGAAUCUAAGUGGGCCUAGGGUUGUGCUUAAUGGGCCAAGUGUAUUUAAAAACUAUCCUAAAAAUGAAUGAAAAGCCUAAUUCUAAAUUAAGGCUGCCAAGGGUCACAAUAAGGAGUCAGAUAAUCCCUCAACCAAAGUCUCCGAGAUGGCUCAAAAAAAGUAAGUAGUAUGAGUAGCUAUGGGCCACCAAGGAACUACUGUAAAGUAUCAAAUAAGUAUCUAAUAGGGCAUGUGCUAGGAGGACAAAAUUGAGGGUCUACAAUAGUAUAACUGAAAGUUAUACAAAAUAAUAUUUUAUACCCAGAAGCUAUAAAAUGAAUAGUUCAUAGCUUGAAAUUAUGCACAAAUCUGCACAAUGAAUAGUUUAUAGCCUAAAGUUAUGCACAAAUUUAUAUAAAAAAUAGUUCAUUGCCUAAAACUAUGUACAAAUUUAAAUAUUUUCUUGUUCUAACAAAAUAAUCAUAACUUGAAGCUAUGAAAGAUAUUAACUUUUAAUUUCUUUAUUUUCUUUUAAUUAUAUUGUUGUGGACCCCGCAUUUCGGCUCAAUGUGUUUCCCACUCGAUGGCGAGCUCGAUUUUUAUUAUUUUUGAAAAAUUGAUUUUUAUUGAUUAUUUGAAAAUGACUUGGAGUCGCCACUUAUUUUUGUUUUAUUUUUAAAGGGUAAACAAAAUAAGAAAGAAAAACCCUAAGUGUGACUCCUCAUUUUGGAAAAGGUGAUCUACGAAAAUCGGAUCAGGUUCGGGGGUCAGGUUACUUAUCGGGAAGGUACGGUAAAGACCGUAGCACCCCUCUAAGUCCCUAAGUCGGGUCUCUACUAAUGAGAUGAAGCUGACAUGGCAAUCAAUGAGAAAAUCAAUAAAUACUCGAACCAAUCAUGCACAUAUGAGAGUCAGAAAAUGCAUAUAAACUAACCAGAGUGGGAAUGAAUGUGUACCUGAGCAGCGAGCCACUAUGCGCUAUCAAGAGAGAGGGUUAGUGCAAAAUAAAGAGCAUAAACAUAGCUCACAUGUCACUAAAUCGAGUACAAAAUCAUCAAAGGCACGCAUGACACUUCACUCAAAAUUCAUUUUUAUUUUAAAGAAAAUUUAUUUGAUGUUGGGCCCUCACCAAAGCCCAUUUAUUUUGCACGAAUCAAUUCCAUAAAUCCCAUCACCUGAGAAUUACAAAAUUUGAUUUUUGGCUUAUUUUAAAACAUUUUAAAAUCAGAGAAGUUAUGAAAGUUGCAUGCCGAAGAGAGAUGGCGGCAAAUUUUAUUAAAAACAGAAUUUUGGAACCUAAAGAAAACCUAAGGAUGAAAGAUGGUAAAUAUUGAAAUUAUUUGAAAAUCGAUGUUUAAAAAAGUUAUUUGCAAGAAAGGAGUCAGAAAAUUAUUUUCUAAGCCAAAAGAUUGAUGGAAUGGGAGGUGACACGUGACCCAAAGGUGGCCAUGCAGAGAAAAUCCCAUUAUUAACCCACUUUGAAGGAGUGUUCUUUCUCUUAUUUCCUUUCUCAGUACAACGAGCCUGAUUUGAGGAAAAAACUGAGUCAACUUCCAGAUUUAGGGCCUCUCAGCAAUCCUUGAUUUGAUCUAUUCUGGGUUCGACAAAAGAUCUUCCCUCUGCAUCUCAAUCUCUCUUUCCUGGUUCACAAUCUCCUUGGGAACAUCUUCUAUAACAAGAGAUUGCACUUGAGGACAGGCAACAACUUGCAUGGCCAGGUCAUCAAUUAGCUUCACUUCUUAUCUCUCAAUUCGCAUCUUCAACAGUUUUCAAGCAUAGAGUCUCCUUUCCAGCCUCACCUUGGCCUCCUGAGUUCCAUUGCUUCUUGCAUCACUCGCCUCGCUUUACAGCAUGUGAAGUCCUGUACUUCCACUGGAGCCCAUGCUAAACUGGCUAUGGAUGGCUUGAUGGAGUUGCUGCCGAAGAUGAAAUGAGUAAAGGGCCCCUAAGUUAAACCCAUCAUGUCGUCCCAUAGGAAAAUGCUGAAAUUGCAUCAUAGAUACAACACUAUCACAAAGUUAUUCUUUCCGGUGAGGGUCCAUAGGAAAAUCAGUAAUUCCACCCUUAAAUCCUGGUAAUACAGGAAAAUCUUCAUUCUGGAUACUGAAUUCUCAGUUUUGAUGGACAACUCCAAUGCUUUGUUUCCACAGAGAACCCAGCUAUCCUUGAAAACUACCAGCAGAAUUGGGGUGAGCGAUCAGUUGGGGAAGACAGCAACAACACGCACUGAAUUUGUGACGAAACAUCUGAAAAGCGGGAUACUAGCUGAUGAAGAGUGUAGCUGAACAAGUGAUGAGAAAAUUACUGACAGCACGGUGUGGGUCGCCAUGGAUGGCACUCUAUAGACGGGACUGUGGUCUGGGAAUGAGGCUCUCCGAUGUGAAUAAUCGGUAUCUUAAAGGCAGUCUCAUCAGUUAUAACUUGGGGAUGCAAACCGCACACCCAUAUCAAUGAAACCAAUGAUAACAUACUCUUGAUCCUUGAUGGAAUAUCAAUCUAACGACAUAGGAAUCCCAGGUCAAUCUGUGAAACAAAGGGACCUCAAGGUGAAUGGUCAGCAGUGCAUUUUCGUCGUCCUCACGGAAAUUGAUGUCACAAACGGGCCUUCAUGAUUGGAUUUUCCUUUUCACUGUUCCAUUGAGGAUGGUAUUUCCCAUGCAUUUUUCCAUUUUGCAUGAAGAUGAGAAACUUCAGAACAAAUCUCAGCAGCAUAUGUACGUGCCAAAUCCUCUCUGAAAAGACACGGUUGCGAAACAGAAAGAGUGACCCCCAUUUACAAAAUCUGACGAAAGGCACAGUCGAUGUUUGGUCUGAAAUGAGUAUCGGAGCUGGAUAAUGAAAGGGUGAUGAGUUGGAGUGGUUUUGGGUGCUAAUGUAGAGUGAGAACUGUGAUGACGGGUAUCAGUGGGUGAUGGCAUCCAUGAGUGAGAAAUGGAUAUGCAUGAAGGGGUGUGGUGUAGAAAUGGAAAAGGUGGCGGAGGAUUCAUGAAGGUGUAGGGCUAUGGGCAUGGUGGUGUGGGAUUCCAUGAUGUGGAGAUAAGAGUGUGGGCAUGGUGAGGAUCUUACAAGUUGAUGGAAAAUGGUGAGAGAGGAAUGGAUGAUGAAUUGCAUGAAAAGUGGUUUGCAUAUGGUACAACAGUGGGAGAAAUGUGUAGGUGGGUAUGCGGUACAAAAAAAGGAAUGGGUAUAGCAAGCAUGAGGUGUGAUAGCUGGUGCAUGAUGACAAGAGUGAUGGUGAGCUUGAGGUGGGUUUGAUGCCGUGGAUGCAUGCAUGGGAGUGAUGGUAUGAGAUGUUGGAAGUGGGCAUGGGAAUGGUGGUCAAUGAGAAGGGUGAUCACACAAAUGAUGGAUACGAGUAUGGGGUAACAUGAUGAGCAAGCGGGCAUAGAGAAUAAAGAUGAAGGGCCCAAACCAUACUUCACCAGCUAUCUUAAGAUAAUCCAAAUCACCAGCACUAAGGGGUUGCCUUGAAGAGAGGAGUAAACUGUGAAUCUGAACUUGAUAUUUUGCCAUAAUCAACAGAGGGUCGUGCCAACAUGAGAGACCCAAAGACAGAACCAAUACCACUUCCAACAACACUGAAGACCUGAAUAACUUGAAGAUCGGUACAGUUAUUAGCCAGGUUUCUGAUGCAAUUUGAACAGAGGUUGAUAUUCUCUUUCCCAAUGAUAUAAUGGCCACAGGCAAAGUUAUUGAUAGCGUCCUCCUUGACACUGAUGAAUUGCUCUGAACGAAAAGGGUUGCCUGUGUGCUCCAAGCUCCACUUAAUUAGUUACAGUAGGCUCAAAGUAUGCUGGAUUGGCACGAAAGACAUGCUCCCUAGCAUCGGUUUCAUCUCAAUCUCUUUUGGAUGACCAUAAUAGGUACCAAAGAAGCCAUGGUUGCUCAACCUGGUUCGAAUCUUCCCAAAGACUCUAGUACCGAUUUCCCUUAGAAACGCCCAAUCUCAAACGGCCGAUCCAAACAAAACAACCAACACUCCAAAAGAAUACCAAAAACAGAGGAGAAAAUAUUGAAAGAAUGACACAAAAUAAAGCGAGGAAAGCAUAUUUUCAGAAGUUUCAUUUCAUGAAUCAUCCAUGAACCCUCUGAUUAGGUGAGAAAGACCCAUCUCCCAACACGACUACAAGCACUCAGCAUAACAGAGACUAUCAUACUCAAACCAGCAGUGGAUAAAAAUGAAUGCAAGAUUUAAUCUCAACAAACAACAAAGCCGCCUUCAUUAUCUACCCCAAAACAAACCAAAUGAGUAUCCAAAUAUCAAAAAAAAAAAUAUGUAGAAGAAUGACAAACGUACCUGAAAAUCUCUUUCUCAACCAAGUAUAUGGGGCUUCAAAUCCACUGCUCUGUUUCUAGCUUGCUCUUUAAGUCAAAACCUUCCUCUGUAACUUGUUUGCCUUCCCAGAGUUUGAACCUCUUUGCUUCCUCAAAACUCAAGAAGACCUCUCUUCUCAAAACAAUAUCCUCCUAAACGGUCAGAAAAAUUACCUUUUCUCUCCUCUCAGACUAACACUCUCUCCUCCCCCUCCCCCAAUGGAACCUCUCCUAUUCUCUCUCCUCUAUUUUUCCUCCAGUAGCAAAAACUUGAAUCUCAAGCAAGAAAAUCGUCUCUGAAUGUGAAUCUCUCCCCUCUCCAGCCAAACUUCGGGAAGGAAACCACACUCCUCACAGCAGAAAAAUGGCUAUCACCCUCACUCUCAGUAAGAAAACUCUCCCAAGAAAAAAGCUCUCUCCCCCUAGAAAAUCUCCUUUCGCAGCCCAGGCACUUCACCUUCUGAAACUUAGAACUCUCUGAAAAACCCCGCCUGGAACCCCCACUCUCUUGACCUCCAAGCCAAAGGAAAAUCCCCCUCACGGCUCUCUCAUCACUGCAAAAAUCCCGCACCUCCCUCCAGAAUAUCUUUUUUUUUUUUUUUUUUCUCCUCUAUAACAACUUUUCUUUUUCUCCCGGAUUUGCCCCUCCAACCCACUCUGCCGCAACAGCCCCCUUCCUCUACACCACCCCUCUGCUAAUAACAGAAGACGCUCCUCAAGACAACGGCCUGCAGAUCCUCAUGCCACCUGUCAACCUUCCAUUGGCAUCCUAAAAGCAUCAUCUGAUUCUGCACCAGCCUCUCAAGAGAAGACACGUGGUGGAGCAAGGCUCUUCCACGUGGCAAAAUGAGCAGCUGCCUGAAUGGCCCCAAAUGGGGGGUCUACAAUUGUGUAACUGGAAGUUAUACAUAAAUAGUUCAUAGUCUGAAGUUAUGCACAAAUUUACAUUAAAAAAAAAAGUUGAUAACCUGAAUCUAUGUAUAAAUUUGCAUAUUUUCUUGUUUUGACAAAAUAAUUAUAACUCAAAGUUAUGAAAAAAUAUUGGCUUUUAAUUUUUAUUUCGUAUUCACUUAUUUUUCACAAUAGAAAUUAUGGAAAACAAUUUUUAUUAACAAUUCUUUCAUAGCCAGAAACUAUGCAAACAAUUUCUAAUUCUCUUGUAUAACCAGAAGUUAUACAAAACAAAAUUGUCAAUGAACAACUAUGUACCUAGAAGAUAUAUAAUUUUUUUUAAAAUUUUGUUAUAUAACCAGAAGUUAUAUCAUAAUAUAAUUGUCAAUUGUUUAAUGUUAUUGUAACAUUACUUAAAUUUUAAUUAUUCAUAACCUGAAGCUAUGAAGAAAAAGUUAGUAAAUUAAUAAUUGUUAGAGCUUGUAUAGCAAGAAGUUAUAUGAAUAUAUAUAUAUAUAUAUAUAUUAUAUAACCAAAAGUUAUAUAAAUAUUAUUAUUCAUAAACCGAAGUUAUGAAAAUAAGAAAAUUAAUAUUCUUUGUGCUAAUAAAAUGUUAUGUCAAAGUUGGUAAUAUGUACUUUUUUAUAGUUAGAAGCUAUAGAGAACAAAAUUGUUAACUAACAAUUUUGUACAACUUUAUGAAAUUUAUAUGACCAAAACUUAUAAUGAAAUAUAUUAUAGCUUGAAGCUAUGAUAACAAGCAUAUAGAUAAUAUUUACAUAUUAUCAAAAGAUUAAUAUUUUGUAUAUCAAGUUAUACAAAUAGACAAUUGUUUGAUAGUUUUUAUAAAUUUCUAUUAUUAGAAGUAUACUGUCAUUAGUAGAAAAAUUUAUAUAUAGAUGUGGAAUUUUGAAUUGCAUGAAAGUAUGAUAUUUUUGUAUUAUAGGUGAUAGUUUGGAAUAUUUUUUUUAUUCUAGUUAUUUAAUAUACAAUAAUAUUUUGAUUUAGAAAUUUGAGAUUUUUUGGGUACAUGUGAAAUAUAUGACUUGGUCAUAUGAUUAAUAAAUUGAUUUCGCAUGUCUUAUUUGUUUAUAACAUGUUUUUAUGAUUGAAAAUUUUUGAGUUGUAUAAAAUAAUAUAUAUUAUUGCAUGUUGUCACAUAUGAUAUUUUUAUUAAUGCAUUAAUUUCAUUAUUCAAGAAUAUCUUUUCAGAAACAAUACAUUCAACUAUUAUUUUUAAUAUAUUAUGUUAUAUCUUUACAUACAUAUUUAUAUAGAUUUGUAAUGUUUCGAUUUAAGUUUUGAAACAAUAAGAUGCUUUAAAUCAUGAUAUGUUCUUUUGAAAUUUUGAUUUAUGAAUUAAUUUCUGCACAUUGAUUUAUAUCGUAAUAAUAUUUUGAAUAAAAAUUAUUGAUCUAUCACUACAAUUAGUUUGAUUAUUGAAAGACUUCCUAGUUAUUUCAUAUAUAAAUUGUUCCACACUUAUAAAAUCAAAUGUGUGAGAUAUUUAAGAAACAAAUAACUUUAAAUUAUCUUUUUCAUAUUUGUUUUGUUGUGUUAUAUAUGCUUUCAUUGUUUUUACACAACUUAUUAAGGUAAGUCAUCAUCGAUGACUAGUAUAUUUCCAUUUGAUUUUAACUCUUUUUCUAUGAUAAUAUUUCUUCAACUCUAUAAAGGUGAGGUCUUUAUGACAUGUUUUAUGACUUGUUAUUUUGAUGAAACUCUUGUCUCAUUAAUUGCACAACAUUGAUGACAGACAAUGUUAAUACUAUAUCAGGUGAUAGAAACCUAAUUAAAGGCUCCAGAAUAACUUAUACUAUGUCAUUAGUAGUAUUUGAUUCUAUGUGAAUGACACUUUAUACGAUGCUAGAUCCAGAAGAAUCUUGUAAGACCAACUUAGUUCCCCAUGGUAAAAGGUCGUAUGGAUGUACAUUAUAAAACCAGAAGUUUUUAUUUUGUAACUAGUCUAUCUAUACACUUGAAAGAUAGAAUGACACGUUGUGCAAAUUAUCAUUUUAAUUAGACAAUUUUCUCGCCGUUAGGGGUAGAAGAGUCAAUUCCAGAAGAACAGCGUGAAAUUAUUUGGAAUGCAUUGACUUUGACUUAUCUUGAUCCUCGUACUAAUCAAUGUGAAGUGGAAGUUCAAAAGAUUAUUUAUUUGCAAGAACUUGUAAAUCAACUACUAAAUGUUUUCAUUGAUGCAAAGAAAGUGACGAUCAUUUUCACUUACCUAGAACAUUCCAGUACGAAUUAAUGUCCCUGAAUGACAAUUAAAUAAUGCGUUGAUGUCCCUGAAUGACGAUUAAAUAAUGAGUUGAUGUCCCUGAAAGACAAUUAAAUAAUGAGUCUAAUGCACACUUGUAGACCCCCUUUUAGGUCAUUCCUACCUUGCAGCUCAAUUUUACCACGUGGAAGAGCCUUGGUCAGCCACGUGUCAGCACCUGAGAAGCCAUGAGAGAAUCAUAAUAGUGGUUUGGGGAGCCAAUCAGGAGGUGACGCGUACAUGGGAAUAUACUGGCCGUUAGAGGAGCAGAUGCUGGCAGCUGGAGGUGAGGUGCUUUUGGAGAGGUUGCCAGCUGCAGGAAGGGGGUGUCGUCUGGCAGCUAGAGGAGCUCUCUGAGCAGGCCGUUAGAGAUUUUUUUUAGGUGAGAGAGGGAAGCUAAGAAGAGGAAAAAAAAAGUCAGAGGAGAAAGGGGUGAGAGUUUGAGGAGAGUUUGAGAGAGAAAAGAGAACCUGAGGGAAAACGAGACAAGAAGGCUGGUGAUAGGGAAGCUGACAGCUGCGGGAAGGUGGUCCGGGCUGCCGUUGGGUGAUUUUUCGAAGGAACGUUUGAGGCUGGAAUAGAACAUCGGCACUCUCAGGUAUGAAAGCAAAAGGUUUAUUGUUAGUUUUUUAUUCUUAUUGAUCCUCCAUAGUUGCUGUUGAUAUUUUGAAUGUUGUUUAGUUUGUUGGGAUGAAAUCUUGCUUUCACGGUUGUCAUUGCUGAUUUUGGUAUACUCUGCUUCUAUUAUGAAUGUGCCUCAAUGUUGUGUUUAAAAUGGAUUUUCUCACCUAAUCAAAGGGUUCAUGGAUGGCUCAUGAAAUGAAACCUCUGAAAACCUUUACUCGUUUUCUUUUUGUGUUUUUUUUUGUUUUGUUUUUUUUAUUUCAAUGGGUCCUUCUUUUGUUGUGGCCAAUAUUCUGCUUCUGGGUCUCGUUUAAUGCCAUGGCUGUGAGAAGAGGUUAUUUUGGGUUAAAGAAGCAAACAAGUUGCAUGAGGCUACUUUUGGCUGUUAGAGGGGAAUAUUUUUGAGGGAGUAUUCUUUCUGGGAAAGGGAAAAACGAGUUGUUGAAGCAGCUCCACACCAGAAAAAGGUGAAGGGAAUAGAGACGGAGCCCUUGCAGAAAGAGUGAACCCAUCUUUGAACUCUAUUCAGCUCACGUUUUGACCCAAAAUCUAUUCAAUAUCACUGAAGACAACGUGGGAAAUCUCUGUAUGUCACUCGAAACUGAACAGUAGAAGAAUUUGUGGGACGAUAUUGAGGAAGUAGAAAGGCUUGAAUGUAUUAAAAUUCUCAGAGGUGUACUAUGCACCAGGGCCUGUCUUGAGGGGAUAGUUUCUUGGCUAGUUUCAUGCUGGUAUUGGGAAAAGUAUUGGGGUGCUGCUCAUGACUUGAGUGAGGGAGAGAGAUCUACAAAGAGGGAAGUUGCUGGUUUUGACGACAUUAGAGGAGGAUUCAGGGCAUUUAAAACAGAGGAGGUUUCUGGAAAGAACAAGGAGGGCAUUGUGAGGGAUUCUGGCAGAGAGCGAGAGGGGAGGAUUCUGUUAGCUAGGGGACAGUUUCUUUGCCUGAGGGCAAGUUGUAGGGAAAAGGGGGAGAGGAAGAAAAGGAAAACGGGUGGCAGCUGAGAGGAUUUGUGAGGAGAAUAGGAUGCACAGUUGAAUGACAUGCAGCCAUGGAACUCCGUGCCUUUGAUUUUGGUGUGCCUUAAUGGAGGAAUUAUUUUUUUAAUGAGAGAACUCACAUGUGGCAGUUCAAUGGCUGAAAUUCUUCAAAAAAAAAAAAAAAAGUCAAUGAGUUAAAGUGGUUAUACAUGGAGAAAUUAAUGGUUGAAAUUCAAACGGGUGUACGUGGUGGGUUUUUGGAAAUUCAAUGAUGAAUAUUCAAGGCAUUUGAUAGUGCACAUCAACUAGCGAGUCGGCAAUCCGGAUGCACAGUUUUUGGUUUGUUUUUAUUAAUUUCACUUGCUUUUCAUAUUUUAAUUUUUCUUUUAAUAGAAAAUUGUUCGAGUGACUUUGGUUUGCUUUUAAAGAUCGAUUUUAAAUUCUACUUUAAUGUUUAAUUCUUUAACUUCUUUUAAUUCAUCCUUAGCAUUCCUAAUUUACUAAAAUCCAAUCUUAAUAAUCAUCCUUAGCAUUCCUAAUUUACUAAAAUCCAAUCUUAAUAAAUCAUUUGUUAUCGUAUUUCUUUUCCACUUAUGCAUGAAUUGCAUGGCCACCUUUUAGGCCACGUGUCACCUACUGUUUCAACAUCUUCGACUAAAACCCUCUUUUGUAAAUAAUUUUUAAAUUCUGUUUUUUUUUUUAAAUAAUCCUAAAAUCUAGGUUUUUUUUUUAAAAAAUUUCAAAUAACUUCAAUUUUUUUUUGAAUUUCAUCAUUAGAGUUUUUAGGUCCCGAAAAUCCGUUUUCCAAUAAAAUUCGUUGCCAUUUUUCUUCGGCAUACAUUUUUCGUUACUUCCAUGCUUUUAAAAUAUUUUAAAACAAGCAUAGAUUCAAUUCCGUAAUUCCGAAUAACAGGGUUUAUGGAAUUAAUUCAUGCAAAAUAAACGGGCUUUGGUGGGGGCCCCACAUAUGUGAUUUAUGAUCGAUUAACUGAUUGAUUGAUUUAAUUGUCAUGCAUGAUUGAUUUAUUCUGCUCUAUGACAUGCUCGAAAUUAUUUCUUAACUAUGCACUAACCCUCCUCUUGAUAGCGCAUAUUGGUUCGCCACCCAGGUAUGUAUUUUCCUGCAUCAUGGUCACUCCUUAUGCUUGUUUCUAAUUCUCAUAUGUGCAUGAUCGAUUUGGGUCUUCAUUGAUUUUCUCAUUGGUUGCCAUGUCAACUUCAUUUUAUUAGUAGAGACCCGACUUUAGGGACUUAGAGGAGUGCUACGGUCUUUACCGUACCUUCCCGAUAAGUAACCUGACCCCCGAACCCGAUUCGGUUUUUUGUAGAUCACCUUUUCCAAAUAAGGAGUCACACUUAGGGUUUUUCUUUCUUAUUUUGUUUACCCUUUUGAAAAUAAAACAAAAAUAAGUGGCGACUCCAAGUCAUUUUCUUAAUCAAUAAAAAUCAAUUUUUCAAAAUAAAAAUCGAGCUCGCCAUUCGAGUGGGAAACGCAUUGAGUCGAAAUGCGGGGUCCACAACACUUGAAGCGUGGUAAACCCUGAAAAGGCAAACAAAUUCCUUUAAAAGAAAAACACAAGGAAAGAUAUAUGAAAUGUGACACUCUUGAAGAAGUCGCAUAUAAAAUGAGUUAUUAAAAUGAUUGAUCAAUCUCAAGCAGCCCCUAAAGAGGCACAGUUUAAACAAGUAGCCUUAUGAUAGGUAUAUGUUUAAUAAUUAGUUCCUGAAAAUGUACAAGUACCUGAUAUUGAUGAGAUCUCAAUUAUUUACUUAUAUAUGAAAAAAAAAUGGGAUUGAAAUACUCUUGUCAUUAACAAUAUAUUUUCUUUCCAAAUAGCUGUUGACAUCAUAAGAAUUGAUGAGGAUCCCAAAGUAGAAACUAUGAAUGAAUGUCAACAUAGAAAAGAUUGGCCAAAAUGGAAAGAAUACAUCCCAAAAAAAUUAUACUCAUUAGAAAAAUGAGAAGUAUUUGAACCUGUAGUCCAAACGCCUGAAGUUGUCAAACUUAUUGAAUAUAAAUGAGUAUUUAUAAGAAAGUGUAAUGAGAAAAAUGAAAUCACGAUAUAUAAAAUGUGACUCAUAGCUCAAGGUUUUCCGCAGAAACCUAGUAUUAACUAUGAGGAAACAUAUUCUCCUAUGAUGGACGCAACCAUAUUUAGAUAUCUAAUUUGUUUAACAGUCUUAGAAUGACUAGAUUUGCGUUUCAUGAAUGUCAUUAUUGCAUAUUUACGUGAAUCUUUAGAUAAUCACACACACACACACACACACACACACACACACACACACACAUACAUAUAUAUAUAUAUAUAUAUAUAUAUAUAUAUACGAAAAUCCUUGAAGGAUUUCAAAUACUUGAAGCAACUAAUUCAAAAUAUUGUAGCAUAUACUCAAUUAAGUUACAAAGAUCCUUGUAUCAAUUAAGCAAUCUAAAAACAUGUGAUACGAUCACUUCAAUGAAUAUUUGAAGCGAGAAGUAUGUAUGUAUUACCUUAUUUAUUUAUACAUAUUCAUUAUAUUGAAUUUUUGCAAUUAUUAUAGUAUAUGUGGAACAUUGAAUUUUUUUGGAACUCCUGAAGAGCUUACAAAAAUAGUUGACUAUUUAAAAAUUAAAUUUUGAAAUGAAAGAUCCUGGAAAACAAUUUUUUUUUCCUCGACCUGCAGAUCGAGUAUUUUUCAAACGAAAUAUUAGUUUAUUAGUCAACAUAUACAAAGAAAUUCUUGAAGCACUUUCAUAUGGAUAAAUCACAUCCAUUAAGUUCUCUGAUGAUAGUUCAUUCACUUGAAGUGAAAAAUGACCCUUUUUGUCCUAAAGAAGAUAAUAAAAAACUAUUUGGUCCAAAAAUACCAUAUUACAGUGUUAUUGGUGCAUCGAUGAAUCUUGCAAAUUAUACAUGACCAGAUAUUGCAUUCCUUGUUAAUUUACUUGUGAGAUAUAGUUCUACACCAAUUCAAAGACAUUGGAAUAAAAACAAGCAUGUACUACAAUAACAUGGGUCUAUGUUAUUCCAAAUGAUCAGAAUCUUAAGUGCUUGAAUAUGUAGAUGUUGACUAUCUUUCACACCCCCACAAAGCUCGAUCUUAAAUGAGGUAUGUAUUUAUCUAUGGUGGUACGACAAUAUCAUGGAGAUCAAUCAUGCAAAUAAUGGAAACAUGUGGACUACCCUCCAUCAAAGGUAAUGCUACCAAGUUAAUAAUGCUGCAUGUAUUGCACAAAUUAAAGAAUGAUACAUUAAGGGUGAUAGAAUUAAGCACAUAUCGUCCAAGUCUUUUACUUUCAUUAACUCAAGAAUAGUGAUGAAAUUGCUAUUCGACGAAUAAAAUCAAGUGGCAAUUUAGUAUAUCUAUUCACAAAGGCAUUGUCAAUUACAAUACUCAAGAAGCUCAUUGGAAUACGCCGACUCAAAGAUCUCCAUGUUGUACUACUAGAGAAAAUAUAAUCAUGUCAACAUGAGGGGGAGCUAAUUGAUAAAAAUAUCACUACGCUACACUCUUUUUUCCUUCAUCCAAGUUUUGUCUCAUUGGGUUUUACUGGCAAGGUUUUUAAUAAGACAAUUGUGGUAAUCCAAAAAAAUAUUGUACUCUUUUUCUUUCACUAGGGUUUUUCCUAGUAAGGUUUUAAUGAGACAUAUUCUUAUGAUCAUACAAGGAGGAGUAUUAUAAAAUAUGAGAUUUUGUAUCACUAUGGUAACUUGUGGAUGAUCAUUCAUAUUAAUAUACAUCUCUUUGUAACUCCCUAUAAAAGGGAGAUACCUCUAAUGAAAAUUAAUCUGGUUCUCUUCCAACAUUUUGUUAUACUUUUCUUUGAAUAUCUUUGUUUAUUCUCUCAUAUUUUCUUUUUCUUCUUCUUUUUAUUUCACAACUGUGGACCCGCAUUUUUCACGUGCGCCCCCACUUGAUCGACGAGACUCGCUUUUUAUUGUGAAAAAUUAAUUUUAAAAAAAAGUUGGAGUCGCCACUUAUUUUAUUUUUUAUUUUUGAAGGGAAAAUAAAACAAGAAAUAAAACCCUAAAAAAAAUGACUCCAUAAUUUUUGGAAAAGCGUGUCUUUGAAAACCCAAGUCUUGGUCCGGGGAUCAGGUUACUUAUUGGGAAGGUACCUCUAGGAGGUAGCACCCCUCUAAGCCCUAAAGAGGUCUCUACUAACUAAGUUAAGGGAAGCGUGGCAAUUAAAUGGUUGACCUCGGGUACCUAAGUAGGCUAGGUGAUUCCAAAAAAAACAUAACAUAUCAAACAAAAUCAAAUCACAAUUAAGGAGAGUUAAAAAUGCGUACCUGGACAGCCUCCCAAGCGCUAUCAUAAAACAUAAGAGAUUAGUUUGGAGAUACAUCACACAACAUUGUUUUAUCAAAGAUAAUCAAACAAUCAUCAAAUGUAUAUCAAGGCAAUUAAAGAGGAUAGCAAGCAUGGGCAUACAUAUUCAUAGGGUUUAGAAAGUGGGUAUUAGGGAACGUACCUGGAUAGCAUAUUUAAUUCCUAAUGCGCUUCCACAAAACAUGAGAGGUUAGAUAACAAACAAUAAAAUAAGAAGUCCUAGCAUGCUCGUUAUCUAAUUAUCAUAGCAUAAAUUGUCAAAAUAUAUGAAAACAAUAAUUAUCACACUCAUCUUGUAUACAAUUUCUAAAAAAAAGAUAGAUAUAAUUUCAAAAAGUGACAAAAAUGGCAACAAAAAUAAUUUUUGAAAAGAUUUUCUUAUGUAGGGGUUUCACCAAUUCCCCAAAUUAAUAUACACAAAUUUAGCCCAGAAUUAUCCCAUUAUUUGGGACCACAAGCUUUGAUUCGUGUUUUUGUUCAAAACCAAACUUUUUGUUAGAAACUGAGAAGGAUGCAAACCGAACAAAAAAAUGGUUGCAUAUUAUUUUAAGAAAAUGAGAUUUUUUUUAUUCCAAGGACUCUAAAUGAAUUUUUUUUUUAAAAUAGGUUUUUAAAGGGAUCUUUUAAGGAAAGUGUUGGAUUUCAAAAUAAAAAGAAAUUAAUUUGAAAAUGACAAGACAUAAGGAACAAAAUACCAAGCAAAACAAAAGUGAUUAAAAUCGCAAAGUAGAGUUUUUGACAACUGAGAAAAUUGAAGUGGUGAGAAUGGAGGUCAAUCUUCCCUAUUUUCCGAUGGCCUCCGAAAAGUAAAUUUUACUAGAGAUUACCAAAGCAAUAAACUACUCAAACUCAGGUCAAAUAAGCUAACGAGAUACCCACCAAGAAUUAAUGACGAAUAUUUAAGAAACACAUCCAUUAAGAAUAAAAAUCAAGAAUUAGCAUGAGAUCAAUUAACCACACAAACACAUCUAGAUUUAUUAAAAUGAGACAAAUUAAAUCAAAGCAAACAAUAAUUUUCAAACAUAGAAUUAACUUUAUUAAUGAAGUAAUUUUAUAUAAAAUACUUAAAUCGAAUAGAUGAGUGAAACUAAAUCAGGGUAAACUAAAGGCAUGAAUUUUCAAAUAUAGAAUUGAUUUUAUUAAUGACCUAAAAUUUUACAAACUCCUAAAAUACUUAAAAUGAAUCAAUUUAAACAAAAGGAAACUAAAACAAAAUAUGGAUUUAGGGAAUCUAAUUUCAAAAUAAACUUACAUUAUUAAAAUGAAACCUAGGCUUAAAAUGAAUUAAACACUAAUUAAAGUCAAUCUAAACUUAAAUUCUUAACAUACAUGAUCAAUUAUUUUAACAAAUUAAAAUUUUACAAGAGCACCUAAACCUAAAGUUAUAUAAAAACACUAACAAGAACAGAUUUUUAAAAUUAAAUCUCUAACCUAUAAAAAUUAGUUUUAUUAAUAAAUAAAUGAAAUAGGUAAUGCAUGACUAAAUAAGUAUAGCUAAAACAAAAUACGGACUCAUGGAAUUAAUUUUUUUUUUUUUUUUGUGUAUAAACUUACAUUACUGGAAUAAAAUUUGAGCUUAACAAAUGUUUUUAACACUAAUUAAGGUAAGUUUAAAAUCUAAUAUUUAACAUAUAAAAAUCAAUCAUUUCAACAAACUAAAAUUUUACUUAAACCUAAAACCAAUUCAACCGACCUACAACAAUUUUUUUUUUUUUAAACUGAAUUUUUAGCCCAUAGGAUCAAUCUUAUUAAUAAAUAAAUAAAUUACAAAGAAUUAAAUUAAUAGCAAAUAAAUAAAUAAAUAAUCAAUAAUUAAAUGAAUCAAAACUAAAUUAAAUAAAGAUCAACUAUAUAUUUUUUUUCAAGUAAAGCUACAUAAAAUUGUAUUUUAUGAAUUGAAUAUAAUACAUCAAAACUAACCUUAAACAACACUAAUCUUUAAUGUAAUAAAUCAAAAAAUUAAACAAAAAGUGAGAUUGUGCUCCCAUAUUAAAACGAAUACAUGCUGGAGCCAAUAAAACAAAUCAACCCACUCAACCCAAUAUAAUAAUCCAACUUUAAAUAGUACAUCACAAGACAUCAAAGUUCCACCCAAUGUAAUAAAUAAAUAAAAAAUUAAACCAAAAGUGAGAUUUUGCUGCCAUAUGAAUACAUGUUGGAGCCAAUAAAACAAAUCAACCCACUCAACCCAAUAUAAUAAUCCAACUUUAAAAAGUACAUCACAAGACAUCAAAGUUCCACUAAAAACUCAUAAAAAAAUAACUAACUUACCUAGUUGGCUUACCAAAAAAAACCUGGUGGCAUGUAGUUGCUUUCUCUUCCCUAAUGAUGCUCGGGAACAAUGGUAUUGGUUGAUGGGAACUGAUGAGUUUUGGUUCUUCAGCCAAUACUCUUAUUUCAAAUCAACAAAGCUCGUCUCAAGGAACGGUAAGUAUAAAUUUAAGAACCCCGCAACUGGUUUUCAAUUAUUUUGAUAGCCAAUAAAAAAUGGAUAAUGUGUUCCAGAAGUUGGACGAACAUGAGGACGUAUGGCAGGAGAAUGGAGAAAAGCAAAUGUGCGGCCUGGUUGUGUAGUUGACGAUGAUGGGAAUUGGAGGAUUCUCUGUUUUUAAGGAUAUGUGGAUGGAUGGACUGCUGUCCAGAUGGUUCUCGAUUUUCAACCAAAGGAAGAUUCAGAAGACUCAUGCGACAGGAAAAUUCAGAUGACGCAAACACCAACUUCGGCCUGGCUACGUCAACUUCAGCAGCGGGGUUGACCAAAACGAUCUGGGUGUUCAGGAUCUAACCAUUGGUGAGUUCAAAUGUUGUCUCCCUUCUUUCCCUUCCAAAUCUUCCCGUUCCCUCUCCUCUAUACCUUCCCAAUCGCGGGGUGAAUAGCCGAUGAAUCACCAAACAGUUGCGUAUGUGGGUUUCCCCAAAACAACUUAUCUCUGCUCUAAAAAAAAAAACCUCCCUCUCUCGUGUGUCUUCCUUCCUUUUCUUUUCUUUUCCUUCUUCUUCCUCUUUUCUCAAUCUCUCCGACUCCUCUCUAGCCACCAGUGAUCGAAGGCACCGUAGCCAAGGUUUUCCUCUUUUCUGAUCAUUUUUUUUUCUCUUCUUGAAUGCAAAAAAAUAUUUUCUUUCUUUCCUGGUGCAGCUGCCACUUCCCUCUAGAGAAUCAUUUCCUUCUCAAUGGUCCCGUUGACUCUACCAAUAUGGAAAAAAUCCCUCACCGGUCUAGAGAAAACCCGUAAUCUUCCGCAUCAGUCCAACAUGAUUAGAACCCUACAUUUUGAACCUAGCCUUCAUUUCCAUCCCUAUACACACCGAACAUCUUCUUUUCACCUGCCAAAAUCAGCUUUGGUAAGUUUCUAAACCUUCCCAUCUCUCUCUUUCUUCCCUUUUUCAUAUCUGUCUUGGGUUGAAUGCUCUUUCAAAUCACGGUCGAAUCUCCCUUCCAUAGAACCCUGCAAUAAAAAUAGUAAAAACAAAAUCAUCCAAUUAAAUAGUAAUAAUAAUAAUAAUAAUAAUAAUAAUAAUAAUAAAUAAAUAAAUAAAUAAAUAAUAAUAAUAAUAAAGAUGAUUAAUCAUAUACAUGUACAAGAUAACCAAAAUAUUAUUUCAUGAUAAAGAAACAUAACGUUAGUAUCUUAUAAUCUCCUAAAAAUAAAUAAAUACAAGAACAAAUAAACUAAAACCCACUUAAAACAAAAAUCAAACAAAUAGAAUUCCAGAAGACAAACCUUAGUGUACUAAGCUUAAAGAACUACCCAAGGGAUUCUAAGUGGGCCUAAAGUGGUGCUUAAUGGACCUAGCCUUCCUAAGUGGGCCUAAGUGGGCUUAGAGUGGGCCUAAGUGUAUCUAAGUGAACCUAGGAUGCCUAAGUGAGCUUAAAGUGGUGCCUAAUGGGUUAGGCAUGUCUAAUGGGCCUAAGGUGUACUAAGUGAACCUAAGGUGCCUAAAUGGGCCUAAGGUGACUAAGUGGGCCUGAAGUGUCUAAAUGGGCCUAAAGUAAUCUAAUGGGCCAAGUGUACCUAAAUGGGCCUAGGGUUACCUAAUGGGCCAAGUGUGGUGCCUAAGUGGGCCUAAAGUGCCUAAGUCUAAAUUAGAGCUGCCAAAGGUCACAAUAAGAUGUCAAAUCAUCCCCCAACCAAAGUCUCCAAGGUGGCUUAGAAAAGAUAGGCUACACGAAUAUUAACGGGCCACCAGGGAAUUGUUAUAAACGACAUGUGCGAGGAAGACAAAAUUGAGGGUCUACAACAACAUAUAUAUAUAUAUAUAUAUAUAUAUAUAUAUAUCAAACUAUAAUUAUAUAAUUUUUUUUAAAUGUAUAAAUCCAUUUUAUUUUUUUAUUAGCUUAAAAUUUUUAUUUUUAAAUAUAGAAAUGUAUUUUUGUUAAAAAAUUAUAUUUCAUAUUUUUGUUCCAUUAUUACUUUUAUUCUUUCUUUUUUGUUUGAUUUUUGCAUGUUAUGUUGUCCAUUUUUCGUUUUUAUUUUUUUCAUUUUUUUAUUUGGAAAAAAAUAAAUAAAAUAUAAUUAAUAGUGACAAAUGAAAAGAGAAAAAAGAAGAAAUGUUGAAAAAUAAAAAUAAAAUUGGUCAUUUUCGUGCAUUUUAUUUUAUUUGUGUGUUUCGAUUAUUCUCCUUUUUAAACAAUUGCAUAAAAGAAAAAAAAAUGAAAAUGAUUGUAGGUGAUUUUCAAAAUAGAGGUGAUUUUCUUGAGGAAAGAAUUCGAAAGUUGAUGUAUAAUGUUGAAGAAGAGCCUUCGUUGUAGGUGGGACGAGAGAGGAAACAACUUUGAAUUUUGAAACUUUACCAUCUAAAAUCAAAACAAAAUCAAUUGCAAUUUACGCAAUUUUGUAGGAAAUUAUUAUUAUUAUUAUAAUGGUAUAACAAGUUUAAUAUAAAAAAAAUAAAAAAUUUGUAGUAUAAAAAUAUUAUAAUAAAAUAAAUAAAUUUAUUUUCAAAAAUAUGAAAAUUAAUAUAAAAAUAUUAGGGAAAAAUUAUGUGUACACAUAAAAAAAUAAAAUAUAAAAUUGAUGGAUUAAAUUAUUAUUGAAAUUAUAAUCCGACUUAAAGUCAAAUUAGAAGAAUUUUAUGAAAUGUCAUAUCAAAACUAAAAUACUAAAAAAUGUGUAGAAUCAAAAGAAAAUUAUACUUUUGUUUGUGAAAUUAUGACUAUAAAGAAUAACUCAAUUCAUUUUCAACUCCAGUAAAAAUUUUGAUAAGUUGUGUAUAUGCAUGUCUUGUUUAAAUCUCAAUAUCUAUAAAAUCUAGUGAAUAAUAGUGUGGACCCCGUAUUUCGCACGAUGUGUUUCCACUCGAUGGCGUGACUCACUUUUUGUUUAUUUGUGAAAAAUUAUGAUUUUUAGAAAAGACUUGGAGUCACCACUUAUUUUUGUUUUAGUUUUUUAAGGGAAAACAAAGUAAGAAAAAAAAACCCUAAGUGUGACUUCUCAUUUGGAAAAAAUGGUCUAUGAAAAACCAAAUCUAGGUUCGAGGGGUUAUGUUACUUAUUGGGAAGGUAGGGUAAAGACCGUAGCACCCCUUUAAGUCCCUAAAAAUGAGUCUCUACUAAAUAAGGUGAGUCAAACAUGACAAUUAACUAGGAGAUCAAUGAAUACCAAAAUGAUUAUAGGUCAAAAGCAAGUUAUGAUAAUGAAUAAAUAAAAAAAGUGAGAGUGAGAGCGUACCUUGGCAGUAGGUAAUAAAGCGCUAUCAUGGAAACAAGGUUAGCUCAAGUAUAAAAUUAUUACGCGCAUAUCAAAAAUCAAGACAAAAAUCAAGCAAUAUUCGUUAAGCAUAACAUUUGACAAUCAGAAGAGAAAACUCAUAUGUGGGGUCCUCACCAAAGCCCAAUUUAUCUUGCACGAAUUAGUAUCACAAAUUCCAUUAUUUUGGAAUUAUAAAAAAUUCAUUCUUGCUUAUUUAAAAUAAAGAUAAACAAAAAAUUAUUUGAAAAUCGAAGAAAAUUUGUACAAGUGCAUACCAAAAUGAGAAUGGUAGCAGACUCAUUAAAAUCAGGAUUUUUGGCAACCUAAAACCCUAAUAAAUGAUUAAAAGUUGUAGAUAAAAAAUAUUUGAAAAUUGGAGUGGGAUUAAAACUGUUUGAGAGAAAACUAGAGUUUUGAAAUUUAUUUGAAAAUUGAAGUCUCGAAAAUUAUUUGAGAAUUGGAGUUUUGAAAAUUAAAUUUAAGAAUUGGAAUUUUAGAAAUUAAAUUUGAAAGAAAUUGGAAUUUUGAAAAUUAUUUGAGACUUGGAGUUUUGAAAAUUAAAUUUAAGAAUUGGAAUUUUGGAAAUUAAAUUUUGAAAUAAAUUGGAAUUUUGAAAAUUAUUUGAGAAUUGGAGUUUUGAAAAUUAAAUUUAGGAAUUGGAGUUUUGAAAAUUAAUUGAGAAUUGGAGUUUUGAAAAUUAGUUUUAAGAAUUGGAAUUUUGGGAAUUAAAUUUGAAAGAAAUUGGAAUUUUGAAAAUUAAAUUUAAGAAUUUGAAUUAAAUUUGAAAGAAAUUGAAAUUUUGAAAAUUAUUUGAGAAUUGAAGUUUUUAAAAUUAAAUUUAGGAAUUGGAGUUUUGGAAAUUAAAUUUAAAAGAAAUUGGAAUUUUGAAAAUUGAUUGAGAAUUGGAGUUUUGAAAAUUAGUUUUAAGAAUUGGAAUUUUGAAAAUUAAAUUUGAAAGAAAUUAAAAUUUUGAAAAUGGAAGUUUUAAAAAUUAAAUUUGAGAAUUGGAAUUUCAAAAAAUUAUUUGAAAAUAGAAAUUUGAAAAUUACAUUUAAUAAUUGGAAUUUUGAAAAAUUAUUUGAAAACAAAAGUUUUGAAAAUCGGAAUUUCGAAAAAUUAUUUGAGAAUGGAAUUCUUAAAAGAUCAAAUUUUUAACAUAAAAUGAUGGAUUAGGAGGGUGACACGUCAAACAUUGGAUAGCAGCCCUCUAGAGUGGAAUCCCAAGGUUCUCCUAAAAAAAUACCUCAAUGUCUAAAUGGCUAUAAGCAUCUGUCCAAAAAAAAAAAAAAAACAAUAGUAGAUUUUCCAUUUGUUCCGGUCACUACUAAUAUCUUAAUACUUCUUGGAAGAAUUUCCGUAGCAAAAUCCAACUUAGACAAUAUUCUUUUCACUGAUUGCAACAAGAAGGAAAGUCCAUGACUUUCCAAGGGAACUCCUAGUGAAACAACUACCAUUUCGGCAUCCUUGAGAAGCUUUGUGUCAAAGUGUCCAAGAACGGUUUUCAAAUGACCAUGCUUUUCAAACAGGAGAUCGAGCUCAAGCGAGAGCAAGCUUUGUUGCAGCUCUACCAGAUUUUCCCAACAAGAAAACAGGAAACUCUCAACCAAACCCAAAUUCACGAAAGAGAAUCAAACCAUAUGGGAAACAUCUGGAUCGGCGCGGUAGCUACAGUUUUGUAACAAAUCUCACUUGGGGUCUAGAGAUUCAUGUUACCUCAAGCUUUUUCUUGUCAGCCUCAUCAUCCCAUGGUUUCACAUCCCAGUGUACAGUCCCAUACCCAAGAAUGCAUAAACACCAGGAACAGGGAGAAAACAACAAAAACAUAGCACAAAUGAAGAAAAUAAUAUGAACCAUCAAAAGCCACACUUCAUGUCUUAGUCAGUGGAUGAAAAGGAUUUCUAAAUAUCACAAAAGAGAUAAAAAUUAGUUGGACCAAUUUUUGAACACAAAUUGGAGCAACAAAGAAGCCGUUAACUAUGAAAAAAAAAAUUCAUGAAUCACCCAAAGAUCAACAACAACAUAUCUCAAUAAUAGUGGAUGAAAGAAAAAAUUUUCACAAUGGAGAACUUACUUCAGGGAAGACGUUGGAGGUCUUUCUUCUAUAGAGCCCAAUAACCCGUGAGCUUCUUCUCUACUUCUCUCAACUCACCAUUUCACUCAUAGAAAAACGAUUCAUUAUGACCCCCCUCAAAUCUCAGCUUAUCUUUUUUCUUUUUGUUCCUUUUAAAAUCCCUCAGCUGCCACAAAAACCCAGCACCCACUUUCCAGAUUUUUCUCCCAGAAAAUCCUCUUCAGCUGCUGCCCCUUUUUCUCUCUCCUCUCAUCAUAGUUUUCUUCAUUUUUUCCUCCGAUCCCCUUAUCUUUUUAGUUUUCUACCCCCCCUCCCCAGUUCACCCUCCAAACCUGCAGCUACCCCUCAGACUACUCCCAUAUUUUUUUCUUUCAAGCUCUCAAAACCCUCACAACGCACCCGACUCUCCUUCAAUCCCCUUGCUCAGUUUUUCAUUUUUUUCAAGCUGUCACCUCCUUCGGUCCAGCUCUCCCUCUCCAAGCUUCAAUUUUUCUCCCAAAAAAAACCCGUUCUCUCCUAAUUUCAUCCUCUGCUCAAGACAGCUCACCCAUGUUCUAUUUUUCUUUCACUUCUAGUCUCAUCCUCCAUCUGUUCCAUUGUUCUUGGUUCAGUGAAGACGUCACCACUCUCAACCACCACCAUGGCGAGUUGGUGACAUCCUUUUCCAUGCGUCUCAAUCAUGCAGCUUGUCCACCUCAUGGAGAGGUCAUCCCCCACUUUUCCAAAAAAAAAAAUCUAGCUCACUCCCGAGUACCCAAUGAGGGGUCUACAAAUAGUUACAUCAAAAUGAUCAAUUCAAAAGAAUUUAAGUCUGUAUUAAAAGAGCAAAAAGAUUUAUCGUUGAAAGAAAUAUUUGAAAACACUCUGUUGCCAGUUCGAAUUACUAGCUCCAUAGGAUUGCAACCCACCAACUAUGUUAUCUGAGAUGCUUGCCAAUCUACAUGAUCACUUCCCAUUGGCAUCUUUCAUAAGGCCAUCAAGAGUGGAUAUUUUGUAAUAUACACGUGGAUACAUUUUGGGAUGUAGUUUGAUAUUUUAUAUUAUUUUGUAUUUUUGGUGUAUUGACAUUUUCAUAUUAAUGUUGGGAGGUUGGAUUAACACUUAAAAUUUUUAAAUACAUUUUUACCUAUGUUAUUCAUCAUGGAUGAAAUAAGUAUUUUUGAAAUUUUAAUUUUUAAGAUUUUACUUUAUUCCACUAAUUUAUUUUUAUCAUUUUAAUCAAUUCUAUCUUCAUAAAAAAAAAUUAUAAAUAAGCUUUAUAAGAAUUCAUUUUUAUUAUCAAAUAAUUAUUUUGUUUUCUUAACAAAAUAAAUAUUUUAUAAUUUUGAAAUAAAAUAAUAAAUACUAUGUAACAUUAUCAAACGAGUUUUUUUUUAAAUUUUUAAAAAAUAAUUAUUGAUUUUAUCAAAUAAAUAAAAUAGUAUUUUAAUCUAUGGACCCCUUACUAUUUUUCUUUCCUUUUCAUGUAUCACAUGUUUAAUUAUUUUUUAUUAAAAAUUAGUUUUUGAUAGGCAUUGCUACUAUAAUACCACUUUCUUUUCAUUAAGGAGAGGCACAAGAACCCAUUACGAUUAGACAAUGGGUCAAAUCAUGAAGUCACAUCUCACUAGUAGAUUAAAAAAAAAAACUUUUAUAACUUUGUUGUUAUCUUUUCAUUUUAAGGGUAAAAUAGGAAAAAACAAUUACGAUGCACUCUAAAAUUGCUUUUAAAUUUAUUCCAAAAUUACCCUAAAAAAUUUGCCAUGAAUGUGAGAAAAGUGGUGAUGUGAUAGAAGGAAAAAGUGAUGAAAUGAAGAGGCAUGAGGUGUUGAUUGGAGGGUGGCACUGUGGAUGACGGUCCUAUGGUGCCACACCGAGGUGAAAGUGUGGGCUAGUAGUGAUAGUGGAGAGAAAUGGAUGCAAAAAAUGGGUAUGGUGGGCAGAUGAAGAGAAAGAGAAAGAGAAAGAAAGUGUUGUGAUUUGCAACGGUUGGUGGUAUUGGAGAAAGGCAACAUUUGGUGUUACAGAAGAGAGACAACAUUGUGUCACAGGAUGCACAAAUGACCCUCCCCAUGGGCUUAUUUUGGAGGUGGGAAGCUUAUGGAAACUCCUGAAGCCAUCUACACUAAGCCAUUGGUGGGAAGAGUGUGGAAGCUUCUAAAAAAGCCUAGGGAUGUUCGCACAUCUUUACAUUAUGGUGGAAGGCAUGAGAAAAUUCCAAGACUUUCUAGAGAGUUCUAGAGGUCUCUUGUAUAUUCUUGUACGUAAGCUUGUACAUAGAAUUAUAUAGGGUGUUCUAGAAUAUUCAUGAGUUGUAAGGAACCCUCCAAGGUUCUAGAGAGUCCAUUGGUGUUUAUAAAUGAGGGUCUUAUUUGGUCAGGGCACCAAGCAAGUGAGUUUCCAAGCAUUGUAUAAACUUUCUUUGAAAUCAGUAAAACUUCCGUUCUUUAAGUGUUGCCUACUACGCCCUCUAAAGCUUUUAAGUUGGGUGCAUCUUUGCAAAGCAAACUAAGUAUCAGGACUAAUGUUGACUUAGCAAGAUCAAGGGUCUUGACUUGUCUAAGUGUCGCACAAGCUUAGGAAAAGACUAAGUUUGUGACAGUUGGCACUAGGUUGUGGAUAAGUGGUGGUGGUGAUGUGGAGAAAGUGAAGGAAACAUAGAAGAAGAAAGAAAAAGAAAUAUGGGAAAGGAAAAGGGAGAGAAAAAAAUACUACUAGGUAAGGGAAACUAUGAGCGGUGGCCAACGACGACACUAAUAGAUAAUGUUAUCAAUGGUGCCGAUAGAUUCGGUGGAAGCGGUAGAUUCAGUGGGAAGUGAGAGGCGACAGUGAAUUGAACUUUGGUGGCAAAUCAUACACGACUACCCUCCUCCCAUCGCAAUCACCAUCAUUCUCAUUUUUCGCUUAGGAUCAAUGUGCCCUCUCUAAGCAACAUUGACAACCCCCCUCCCUCCCCUAUCUUUUUCAUUUCUAAUGUUGUUUUCUACAAUUGGAACUAGGUUUUCAAAAACAUCGACUAUCUCUGGAGGAGUAGUACUAGUACUGUGAAUGAUUGAAAUUGUGAUUUCAAAAUUAGGUUGGGUUCCAACAUAGAGGUAAUAGAGGUUGUUAAGCCUUCAGGAAGACGUGCACAAGUGAACAAUGUUCCUAGAGAUUAUAGUGGUGGAAGAAUACCAUAAAAAGAUAAGAAAAGAAAAGGGAAAAGGACUCUUUCUCAUGCCACCUACCCAUUCUCAGUGUUGACACAUUUUUCUAGCUGGCACCAUUCCCUCCAAUCGUCACCUACCCAUCAUCACCACCAUCCCUUACUUUCAUGGUAAUUUUUUUAAGAUAAUCUUGGAACAAAUUCAAAAACAUUGUUAGAGCGCAUGAAUUAAGAAUUUUUUUUUUCUCAACUUUAUACUUAAAAUGAAAAGAUAAAAGCAAAAUUCCAAAAACCUUAUAGCUUGUUUAACCAUAUAACUUAAAAACGGUUAUCUAAUUUUAAAAAUAGAAAACUGUUUUUUAACACUUUCAAUUGUGGUUGGUCAUUAUUCUAAAAAAAAAUAAUAAUAAUUUAAAACUAGAUUGAAAAAAAAAUCAGGAAACAAUCUCAUUGAUUUAAAUUAUUAUUUAAUUACUUGCACAAUCGUAUGAUUAUUAUUAUGUUUUUGUUAUAUUAUAUUAACAAGUGAAUACUAUGUUGUUGAUUCUAGAUAUCCUUGUAUUAUGGGUUUUCUUCCUCCAUAUUGAGGUGAAAGGUAUUAUUUGUAAUAUUAUCUUAGCAAAAGUUGUCAACCAAAGACUGAUAAAGAAUUGUUCAAUUAUUGACCUUCCUCAUUUAUAAAUAUAAUUGAGUAUUAUUUGUGUUUUAAAAGCACGUUUUUCAAUUUUAAAAAUGAUGUCAUCUUACAAACCAAGUAGACAACUAUAAAUAGUUGUAGCUUGUUGUACUCUUUAUAAUUUCAUUCGUAAAUAGACUUAAAAUGAUGUUAUAUUUAGACAAUGGGAAGAAGAACUUGAAUUUGAAGAUAAGGACGAUACUACAAUUGAAGUAAGUUAUGCAAUGAAUUUAUUAGAUGAAGCAGCAACGAUUAUGACAACUUAUCAAGAUCGUAUUUCAUAGUAGAAAUGGAAUGCUUAUGUUAAUAGUUUGUAAACAUUAGUCAUUAAAUAGUUAUAUUAAUAUACGAAGCAAGAAUGUGAAAUAUGAAAAUUGUUUAACUAUUAUAAUUGACUUGAAGUGUUUGUGUGUACUUGGUUUGCAAUUAUUUUUGUUAGGUGCUUUCAAUUUAAAUUUUUUUUUUGUUUUUCCCAUUAAAAAAAUCAAUCCAACUAUUUAUUUUACUCUCUUUAAAAAAAUGAAUAUUAAAAUUAUUUUUAAUCUUAUAGUAAUUUUUGUUUCAUUUGAAUAAAAAAAUUGUUUAAUAAUUAAAACAAUUAUUUAUCUAUAAUUUAUAUAAUUUGAAUUUUAUUUAUUUAUUUUUAGUGAGAUUUAACUUGAAUGUGAUUUAUAUUAAUGUAAAUUAAAUUUUAAAAAUAAAAAUACAAAAAUUGUUUUUAAAAACAAAGACGAUUCUUUUAUACAAACAAGUUUUUGUUUUUUAAAAACUAUUUUUGAAAGUAAUUGGCCAAACAAUUUUUCUUUGUAAAAAAUACAAAAAAAACCAUUUUUUAUUCUUUAUCUUAAAAAUAAUUUUUAAAAUUAAAAAACACGAUCAAACACCUUAUUUUGUUUUUAUUUUUGGUGUAUGAUUGCAUAAUUUUUUCAUUUUUUAAAAUUGAAUUUCAAGCAAGCUCAUAAUUAUAUAAUUAAAAAACUUGUUUGAUAGUAAUUUUAAGAAGCAAUUCUAAUAUUUUUAACACUUAAAAAAUGAAAAAAGAAUUAUUUUUCAAGUAUACAACGAAGAAAUACUUGUUAGGAUCACUGCUACACAUUCUCUAUGUAGACAUAUCCCACUUCUAACUCUUCAACUUCUGAACUCUUUUGAUGAAAUCCACACUCAAACCACUCACAAGCUCCAAAUUCAAGUCCCAAAUGCAGCCACUGCUUCAACCAGGUUUUGGAGUCAAAAUAAGAGACGUAGUGAUGAAUUCCAGAUAGUCCAUAUCUUAAAGUGAGAAAAUAUCCAAAAAAGAAUUUGUUGUGUUGAGAGGGAUUGCUUGAGAAAUUCAGGAUUAGGGAAUUAUUUUAUCUCAGUGUGGUUUAGAAUUCCAGUUUGGCAAAUUCAGGAUUCAGGACUGGCUUUGGGUUCAAAAUGAUUUGGGGUUUCUACUCAGAAACAUCCAAAAAUUGAACUAUUUGACAAAUUUGGGGUGUGGGAGCUGUUCCUUUGUUUGUGGGAUAUUUGUGCAUGAUUAUGGAACUGCUGAACUGUGUUACAUAAAUUCAAAUUUUAUUUGCUUGAUGGGGAAUUGGUCUGGGAAAAGAUAGCUGAAGAAUAAAGGGAUUGAUGUCAUGGGAUAAGGUUUUGUUGGGUGGACUUGUUUUCCAUGUUUUUUCUCCUCUAAAGGUUAGGGGUGAAAAAUUGUAUUAAAUUCAUUUUUUUGUGCAGAUUUUAUGAUUUUAAUGUUGUUGUUUUCCCUUUUGAAUAAGGAAUAUAAAAACAUUUAUGGAAUUUGAUUUCUUCCAAAAUUAGAUGAGUUAUGAAACCAAAAUAGUGGUUGCAUGUGGUUGAAUCUCGGUUUUUAUUUUAUAAUUUGUCAUCCAAAUCAAGCAAUUCUUAUAUUUUUAGUUUUGAAAAUGAAUUCCAAAAGCAUGGGCUAAUUUAUACCUUAUGUAUAUGAGUUUCACUUUGUAUAUACUUUUUGUUUUUAAAAACAAAAAGUAGGAAGUGUAUCCAAACACUUAUUUUUACUUAAGUUAUAAAGUAAGGAGGUGGAUUUAUUUUAUAAGUUGCUUUUGGUGUCAAAGAAAUUAUUCUUAACAUAAUUAUUAAAAAAAAAAAGAUAUCAAUUAUAUUUGAUUGGUAUUAUCAAUUAUGCUUUGCGGGACCAAGCAUGCCCCAUCUUCUUUGGGCCUCCCACUACUUUAAUCCUACACAGAUGACACAUUUUUAUUAAGAUCCAGAUCCUAUUAUCAUGGACUGGGCAAUGGAGGCUCAGAUCCGGCCGUAAUCAGACGAGCUGUUGGGACGCCAUGGCUGCAACUACCGGGUUGCCCCGCCAAGAAACGAGCCCUUCAUAAUCUCUGAUUUACUUGGAAAGUAUCAUCAUAGCCCCUCGAUUUUCUCAUUGGGAACCAAACAGAUCCAGGACCCUUUGAAGGACCCUAAAUACAUCCAACCAAACAAUAAUAAAUAAAUAAAUAAAUAAAGAUGGACAUCACGGGUCCAGGGAGGGCUCAGAUCCGCCCGUAAUCAGACAAGAUCCAUGUUCGCCAUGGCUGCAACUACAGUUGCAUGUGAAAAAACAGGGCAUAGAAACCCAUUUCACAGACAAUCCGGGUCGCCCAGCCAAGAGAUGGAUCCUUUCAAAUGUCUGAUUUACUUGGAAAGUGUCAUCACAGCCACUUAAUUUUCCUGCACAUUUUCUCAGCAACCAAACAGAUACAAGAUCCUUCUCAGAAAACACAUUUUAAAACACAAACAAAAAAACCAAAACAAAACAAAGAUCAGCCUCAGCGCGGAAGUGAAUAGCGCGUAAAAGGAAGGCUCAGAUUCGCCUUUUAUCAGACAAGAAAAAGAUGACCGUCAUGGCUGCAACCACAGUUGCUUGUGAAACAAGGCACAAAAGGUCCCAUCGCACAAACCAUCCGGGUUGCCCCGCCAAGAAACGGACAUUCCCAGUUCCUGACUUACUCUGAAAACGUCAUCACAGCCUUUUAUGUUGCCCAUAUGAACAGAGAGAUACCCCUAAAACAGAUCCAGAAAACACAGGGAGCCAAAAAAAAAAAGCAAUUUUUUUGGUUUUCCUUGGGGGUUUUGCGUGGAUUUUCUCGGAAAUCAAACGAGGAUGAAUUUUCCCGGAAAUCGAAUGGGGGAUGGAUUUUCUUGGGAAUCAAACGGGGGUUGCAAAAAAAUAAUAAUAAUAAUAACAUGAUUAGAUUAGUACCUGCGAGGAUUGAGAGUGGGAGAGGAAAAUAGGGCCUUUUUAGGGAUUCUCUCGUCUGGAGGGCAACUUCAGAAAAGGGCUUCUAGUUCUUGAUGCCCGAGUGGGAGAAGCGGAUGAUGGCCCUUUCGAUUUUUAUAUUUAGUGGAGAGAGAAAACAAGGGAAACAAAUCAUGAAAACAAUUUUCCUCUCUAUAUAAAUAAUUAUUAAUCAUCCAUCUUUAUUUUGAUUAAAUUACUACCAAAAUUUCGAUUUUUAUCAGUAAUAUUUUAUAAAUUAAAAUUCAUUUGAUAAAAUAAAUUAUUAAUAAAUUUAUUUAUUUAAAUAAAUUAAUAUUAAUAAAAAAAAGUUAUUACCAUGUAUUUUUAAUAAAAUCUUAAAAAUUAAAUAUCAAAUAAAAUAUUUUAUAUAAAUUAAUUUAAUUUUUCAUUUAAAAUAUAAUAAAACAUGUUUCAAUAAAAAUAUUUAAAAUUUUUUUAAAUAAAUAUUAUCUUCAAUAAGAUAAGUUUCUUUCAUUUAACAAUAUGAUGGACCCACAUCGAUCUUCAUUUUGAUACUAAAAACUAUUGCAAUCUCAUAUAUAUUAUACUUAUGUAUAAAUUGUUUUUAUUCAAUAAAAUCAAAUAUUUUUUAACUCAAUUCUAACUUUAUACACUUUCAAAAUUCAUAUUUAUUAUUCUUAAAAUUUAAAUAUCCAAUUUAUCAAUAUGUCUCUAUCUACCGAUGUUUUUCUUCUUGAUCAUAUUUAAGUCAAUUACACUUAUAAAACAACUUAAAAAUGUGUAUUCUUGUUUAUUUUAUCAUUUUUUGAAGUUUUUCCAAAUAUCCCUAUGACUUCUACAUAAUUUUCGUUCCACCGGCAUUUUCAUACUUACCCUGUAUCUAUAAAAAAUAAAUGAAAACAAUUUUAGGUUAGGAGUUAUAAGGACAACUAGUAUUCAUGCAGAAAAUCAGCAUCAGAAUUCGUAACUGCAUUUGAUCAGCUAGUUUAGGAAAUCUGUACAGCUCAUUCUUUCCUUUAUUUUCACAUAUGUUGUUAUACGUUAGCACAAGUUUAGGAGUAAUUUUAGUUUCUCAAAUCUGUAUUUAUACCUCUUCUUCUAAUAAGAAUUGUGUGAAUCAUUUUGUCUAAACCUCUAUAUGGUAUCAGAGCCCACCUCAAAACUCCAACGAGUAUUUCCUGUCUUUCUCACUUCUGCUAUGGCCACUUCUUCCUUUGAUAGUUUUCCAAUAGCCAUCAAUGCCACCCAGCAAAUUAUUGCACGUCUCACACCAACCAACUUCCCUUCAUGGCAUGCCCAAUUUGAGUCUCUCCUCCUCGGCUAUAACCUCUUUGGCUAUGUCGAUGGCACUCAUACCUGCCCACCCCUACCGACGUCAACUGAUGCAGCUGCCACUACCGCUCAUCACCUUUGGUUCCGUCAGGACAAACUUAUUCUAAGUGCAAUUCUGACUUCAGUGUCCCCAGCUGUGAUACCACUCAUAGCAACCUCCCAGACGUCAUAUCAAGCCUGGACUAAAUUGACAAAACUGUAUGCUAGUCGAUCCAGGACUCGUGUCAUGCAGCUCAAAGAGGAUCUCACCCUCAUGCAACGUGGCAAUCGCAACAUUACAGAGUACCUACACUCUGUAAAAACCAUUGCCGAUGAGCUUGCUCUCAUCGAUGCCCCAUUAUCUCAAGAUGACAUCACCCUAUAUGUUCUUCAUGGCUUAGGAUCAGAUUUUCGUGACAUUGUUGCCCCGAUUCGAGCCUGAGAGUCUUCACUCUCAUUUGAAGAAUUACAUGAUCUGCUACUUGGUCAUGAGGCAUAUCUUCGAAGGCUUGACUCCACUGCUCAAUCCUUGGUAGUUACUGCCAAUACCACUCAACGCAGGGACUCACGCUCCUCAAAGAAUCAGUCUUUAUCAACUUAUCAACAAUCCAAGAAUGACUCCAGAUCAAAGUCUCGACAGUCGAAACAAUACAAAUACCCUCCAAGGUGUCAAUAUUGUGAUCAACAAGGCCACAUUGCAAAAUACUGUCCGAAAUUGAAACCCUCUGAAGCCACUGUGAACUGCACAACUACUACUUCUAGUCUAGACAAACGUUGGCUCAUUGAUUCUGCGGCUUCCCAUAAUAUCACUUCUCAGGUUUCAAAUUUACAAUUUCACUCUGAAUAUGAUGGUACUGAUGAAGUUAUUAUUGGAGAUGGAUCAGGUUUGCCCAUUACUCAUUCCGGUUCUCUUACUCUUUCAUUUCCAAACAGAAAAUUUCAAGUUGAAGAUACUCUAUGUGUUCCUACCAUUAACAAAAACUUGAUAUUUGUUCACCACUUCACAAAGCAAAACAAUGUUAUCCUGGAAUUUCACCCAACUUAUUUUCUUGUGAAGGAUCGGAGAACGGGGGAGAUUCUUCUUCAAGGACCGUGUGAAAAUGAAGUCUACCCUCUACCCUCAUCGCCUGCUGCUACUCCAAUUGCUUUUGUCCAUGAACGCACAUCAGUAGCUGGUUGGCAUCAGCGCCUUGGUCAUCCAUCCUUCAAAGUUGUCACUCGCCUCAUUAGUUCUUUCUCCCUUCCCACCACUUCAUAUCUUUCUAGUUCUAAUAAUUGUCAUUCGUGUUCUACCAAUAAAGCUCAUUAGUUACCCUUUCAUAAACACGGUCUAACUAGCACAACACCAUUUGAUUUACUUUACACUGAUGUAUGGGGACCUUCUCCCACUCCUAGUCUCAAUGGCCACAGAUAUUAUGUUAUUUUUGUUGAUCACUUUACCAAAUAUGUGUGGUUCUUUCCAUUGCAUCAAAAAUCAGAUGUUAAAACCAUAUUUCCUCAUUUCUACAAAAUGAUUGAAACUCGUUUUAACAUAAAAAUUAAAGGAGUUUAUUCCAAUAAUGGAGGAGAGUUCACUGUUCUUUGACCCUUUUUCACAACCCAUGGCAUUAGUCAUUAUACAACAACCCCUUAUACACCCCAACAAAAUGGAGUGUCUGAGCGUCGUCAUCGCCAUAUUGUGGAGACAGGUCAAACCCUUCUAAGUCAUGCCUCUCUUCCAUCAGAAUAUUGGGCUUAUGCUUUUGCAACAGCCACAUAUCUAAUCAAUCGACUUCCAUCACCUGUUCUUCAUCAUAAAUCACCUCUUCAAGCUCUCUUCAAGCAACAACCUCGGUAUGAAAAAUUACGUUCCUUUGGAUGUUUCUGCUUUCCCUUGAUGAAGUCGUAUAACACAAACAAAUUUCAAAAGAAAUCUGUUCCUUGUAUCUUUGUUGGCUACUCUACUAGCCAAAGUGCAUAUCUAUGUCUUCAUCUACAAAGUCAACGCAUAUACACCUCCAAACACGUAACCUUUGAUGAAUCUGUUUACCCCUUCAAACAGGUUUCCAUGCCAUCACCCACUGACUCAUCCCCACCAGAAACCUCUUCUUUUCAGGACCAAUUUUGCAGCUUGCUUCCAGGGAGCUUCCAGCAAUCACACGGGCUCAAGGAGAUAUCCCCUCUGCUUCUUCGACUCCAAGUGAAGAUCCAGCUCUUGUGCAACCUCAAGAGGCACCACUCUCCACUUCAGAUCAGGUACCUCUUAGACCUUCUACUUCUGUUUCUCAACCAGAAAAUUCAAUACCAUCCUCUCCACCACCAUGUCCACGAACCAUCAUCACUCGCUCCAUGAACAAUAUCUUUCGGCCAAAACAACUCCACACUACCACCAAGCACCCCUUACCUGAACCACCCGAACCAAGUUGUGUAAGUCAAGCUCUUAAAGAUCCUCACUGGCGCAAGGCUAUGUCAGAAGAAGUGACAACCCUCCUUCAACAUGGGACGUGGGAACUGGUUCCUCCCACUCCUGGCCAGAAUCUUGUUGGGUGUAAAUUUGUGUUUCGGAAGAAACGAAAUCCCGAUGGAACAAUCAGUCGAUAUAAAGCUCGACUUGUCGCUAAAGGAUUUCAUCAACGGCCAGGUAUUGACUACUCUCAAACCUACAGCCCCGUCGUAAAGCCAGCAACAAUUAGGCUUCUUUUAACCAUUGCUGUCAUGCAUGGCUGGCCCCUUCGUCAGUUAGACAUCAAUAAUGCAUUCUUGCAUGGUAAUCUUGAAGAAACAGUCUUCAUGCAUCAACCUCCAGGAUUUGAAGAUCCAUCUCAACCUCAGCAUGUUUGCAAGCUAAAAAAGAGUAUCUAUGGUCUUAAACAAGCCCCACGACAAUGGUAUAAGGCCCUUCGGGAUGCACUCCUCAGCUUUGGUUUUAUUCACUCGGCCACUGACAACUCUUUGUUCAUCUAUAAGUCUCAUGAUAUCUUGUGCUACUGCCUUGUUUAUGUUGAUGACAUAAUUGUCACAAGCAACACACUCAGCUUUGUGAAUAACAUUAUCAACAAGCUUGGCUCUACAUUCUCAGUCAAAGAUAUGGGCUCCUUGCAUUAUUUCUUGGGAAUAGAAGUGAUUCCAACGCCACAGGGGCUCUUUCUAUCUCAACAUCAGUAUAUACGGGAUCUCCUUUCACGAACCUCCAUGGAAAAUGCUAAAGAAACACUCACUCCAAUGUCCACUACAACCAAGCUUACAGUUCAAGAUAAUUCUGAAUGUGUUGACAGCACUGAGUAUCGCAAGAUCAUUGGAGCACUUCAGUAUUUGGGACUCACUCGUCCCGAUAUUGCCUUUGCAGUCAACAGAUUAUCUCAGUUCAUGCAGAAGCCGACAACAAACCAUUGGGCCGCAGCAAAAAGACUACUCAGAUAUCUUAAACAGACCAUGUUUCAUGGUAUCCUUCUCCAAAAGCAUGAUCAAUUCCAACUCAAGACCUAUAGUGAUGCGGACUGGGCAUCAAAUACGGACACUCGUGUUUCAACCACUGCUUUCAUCACAUUCAUUGGUCCUAAUCCAAUCUCAUGGUCUGCACGCAAGAAAAGGGCAGUCUCAAGAUCAUCUACAGAAGUAGAGUUUCGGGCACUAGCUACUGCCACAUCAGAAACAAUUUGGCUUCAUUCUCUUAUCAAGGAACUUGGUCUCACUCUCAUAGAAGCACCUCAAAUGUUUUGUGAUAAUAUUGGCGCCAACCAUUUCAGUUUAAAUCCAGUCCAGCACACACGGAUGAAACACAUUGAAAUUGAUCUCCUCUUUGUACGAGAUCUUGUCCAAAAGGGAACUAUUCGUGUUCAGCACAUCCAUACCAUUGAUCAACUAGCUGAUCUCCUUACAAAAUCACUCUCACGUCAACGCUUUCAACUAUUAAGAUCCAAGAUUGGUGUUGCAGAUGGCACCUCCAUCUUGAGAGGGCAUAUAAGGACAGCUAGUAUUCAUGCAGAAAAUCAGCAUCAGAAUUCGUAACUGCAUUUGAUCAGCUAGUUUAGGAAAUCUGUACAGCUCAUUCUUUCCUUUAUUUUCACAUAUGUUGUUAUACGUUAGCACAAGUUUAGGAGUAAUUUUAGUUUCUCAAAUCUGUAUUUAUACCUCUUCUUCUAAUAAGAAUUGUGUGAAUCAUUUUGUCUAAACCUCUAUAGGGGUGGACUUGUUUUCCAUGUUUUUUCUCCUCUAAAGGUUAGGGGUGAAAGCAACUUAUAGCUGAUGGUUGUUUUCAGAAAUAAGCUGAUCAUAUCAUAGCUGACCGAUUUCUUCUUUGGUCAUCUUGAAGCAAUUUUAAUAUUUAUUUUUCAGUCAGCUACCUUCUAUCUCUUCUUAGCUAUCUAAAAAUCCUCACUCAUCGGCCUCCCAAUAUCAAUGAAAUGGUGCCCAAAAUCUGAAGUGGCUUGAAUUCAGUUCAGGUCUAAAUAGUGGUUUCUGAAUGUUGUUAAGUGGUUUAUUUUUACAUGGCAAAACAUCUAAAAUUAGUAAUAAGAUUUAAUUAUUAUCUUUCUUCUUAUAAUUAACAAUAUUUUCAAAUAUCUCAAAAUGCCAAAAUAUAUUCCUUCUUAUUUUAUAAAAUUGGAAUUAGAUAUUUGAAAAGUAAUAAUUUGAAAAAAUAAUAAUAAUUUAAAAUAUUUCCAAAUAACAAAAAUACGAAAAUUGACUACAUUACAAUGAUGGUAAUUAAUAUGUAAUUAAUUAUGAUAGAAGUUAGUGUUUCUAAUUAUAUUUGGCUAUUAAGAAAAUGUUAGAAAUUCUCUAGGUUGAGUUUCCUUAAUUUUUCUCUCUUUUUUUCUAGUGGAUGUUUAGAUAAAUGUGAGUUAUGUUUUGGAGUUUUAAUUGGAGAAAUUCUGUGAUGAUGUUUUAUGUCAGUUUUGUUGCAUUCUGAGGUGUUGAACUUUGAAAAAUUGUAUUAAAUUCAGUUUUUGUGCAGAUUUUAUGAUUUUAAUGUUGUUGUUUUCCCUUUUGAAUAAGGAAUAUAAAAACAUUUACGGAGUUUAAUUUCUUCAAAAAUUAGAUGAGUUAUGAAACCAAAAUAGCAGUUGCAUGUGGUUGAAUCUCGGUUUUUAUUUUAGAACUUUUUGGAUUUAUUUUAUAAUUUGUCAUCCAAAUUAAGCAAUUCUUAUAAUUUUAGUUUUGAAAAUGAAUUUCAAAAGCAUAGGCUAAUUUAUACUUUAUGUAUAUGAGUUUCACUUUGUAUAUACUUUCUGUUUUUAAAAACAAAAAGUAGGAAGUUAUAAAGUAAGGGGGUGGAUUUAUUUUAUAAGUUGAUUUUGGUGUCAAAGAAAUUAUUCUUAACAUAAUUUUUAAAAAAUAAAAAAUAAAUUAUAUUUGAUUGGUAUUAUAAAUUAUGCUUUGUGGACCAAGCAUGACUCAUCUUAUUUGGGCCUCCCACUACUUUAAUCCUACACAGAUGACACAUUUUUAUUAAGAUCCAGAUCCUAUUAUCAUGGACUGGGCAAUGGAGGCUCAGAUCCGGCCGUAAUCAGACAAGUUGCUGGGACGCCAUGGCUGCAACUACGGUUGCCUGUAAAAUGAAACCCAUUUCACAGAUCACCCGGGUUGCCCCGCCAAGAAACGAGCCCUUCAUAAUCUCUGAUUUACUUGGAAAGUAUCAUCAUAGCCCCUCGAUUUAUUUACUUGGAAACAGAUCGAGGACCCUUUGAAGGACCCUAAAUACAUCCAACCAAACAAUAAUAAAUAAAUAAAUAAAGAUGGACAUCACGGGUCCAGGGAGGGCUCAGAUCCGCCCGUAAUCAGACAAGAUCCGUUUUCGCCAUGGCUGCAACUACAGUUGCAUGUGAAAAAAAAGGGCAUAGAAACCCAUUUCACAGACAAUCCGGGUCGCCCAGCCAAGAGAUGGGUCCUUUCAAAAUGUCUGAUUUACUUGGAAAGUGUCAUCACAGCCACUUAAUUUUCCUGCACAUUUUCUCAGCAACCAAACAGAUACAAGAUCCUUCUCAGAAAACACAUUUUAAAACACAAACAAAAAAACCAAAACAAAACAAAACAAAGACCAGCCUCACCUCAGCGCGGAAGUGAAUAGCGCGUAAAAGGAAGGCUCAGAUUCGCCUUUUAUCAGACAAGAAAAAGAUGACCGUCAUGGCUGCAACCACAGUUGCUUGUGAAACAAGGCACAAAAGGUCCCAUCGCUUAAGCCAUCCGGGUUGCCCCGCCAAGAAACGGACAUUCCCAGGGCCUGACUUACUCUGAAAACGUCAUCACAGCCUUUUAUGUUGCCCAUAUGAACAGAGAGAGAGUGAGCGCUGUUGAUAGCCUCUGAUGUAUAUGUAUAUAUAUAUAUAUAUGUAAAAGAGCGAAGGAAAAGGAGCGUAGUAGAAGGAAUCAUCGGCUCCGACGACCAUGAGAGUGGCAGAGGAAAAUAGGGCCUUUUUAGGGAUUCUCUCGUCUGGAGGGCAACUUCAGAAAAGGGCUUCUUGAUGCCUUAGUGAGAGAAGUGGAUGGCCCUUUCGAUUUUUAGAUUUAGUAGAGAGAGAAAACAAGGUUAACAAAUCAUGAGAACAAUUUUCCUCUCUUUAUAUAAAUAAUUAUUAAUUAUCCAUCUUUAUUUUGAUUAAAUCACUACCGAAAUUUCGAUUUUUAUUUUGAAGGACCCUAAAUACAUCCAACCAAACAAUAAUAAAUAAAUAAAGAUGGACAUCACGGGUCCAGGGAGGGCUCAGAUCCGCCCGUAAUCAGACAAGAUCCAUGUUCGCCAUGGCUGCAACUACAGUUGCAUGUGAAAAAAGGGCAUAGAAACCCAUUUCACAGACAAUCCGGGUCGCCCAGCCAAGGACAGGUCCUUUCAAAAUGUCUGAUUUACUUGGAAAGUGUCAUCACAGCCACUUAAUUUUCCUGCACAUUUUCUCAGCAACCGAACAGAUACAAGAUCCUUCUCAGAAAACACAUUUUAAAACACAAACAAAAAAACCAAAACAAAACAAAGACCAACCUCAGCGCGGAAGUGAAUAGCGCGUAAAAUGAAGGCUCAGAUUCGCCUUUUAUCAGACAAGAAAAAGAUGACCGUCAUGGCUGCAACCACAGUUGCUUGUGAAACAAGGCACAAAAGGUCCCAUCGCACAAACCAUCCGGGUUGCCCUGCCAAGAAACGGACAUUCCCAGUGCCUGACUUACUCUGAAAACGUCAUCACAGCCUUUUAUGUUGCCCAUAUGAACAGAGAGAGAGAGAGAGAGCUGUUGAUUUUCCAGAGAAUCAAGACAGCCUCUGAUAUAUAUGUACACACAUGUGUAUGAAAAGAAAGAAAAGAAAAGAAAGAGCGAAGGAAAAGGGCUGUUGAUGGGCGUCGUAGAAGUAAUCAUCGGCUCCGAAGACCAUGAGAUUCAGAGAGGGGCAACCACCCUUAGAAACUCCCCAUCCCUCCGACACGGUCCCUGGAGCCUCAGUCUUAAACUAAUGAGGUCUAGCCCUAACUUUUACUCAUCCUUUCCCUUUUAUACUACUCCCUGUCUUCUUCUUCUUUGCUUUUAUUUUACUUUUUUGACCUUUCUACCCUCACUAAACCCGGUAUCAAGGAUUGAAAUGUCGAAUUUCGGGAAAUUUCCCGAUAUUUCCUACCAGUCCAGCCCGCGCACAGGAUACAAAAUCUGUCCAUUUUUUAAAAAAAAAACACAAGAUGUUAUUUGGUAAUCUGAUCAUGAUUUGCAGGCAAAGGUUGUGUUUUUCAGCCUGGCUCAAAAAUCGUGGAUUUAGGGUUCGUGAAAUUUAAAUCCAAUGGCACAAAAGCAAAGAGACCCCUAGAACAGAUCCAGAAAACACAGGGAGCAAAAAAAAAAGCAAUUUUUUUGGUUUUCCUUGGGGGUUUUGCGUGGAUUUUCUCGGAAAUCAAACGAGGAUGAAUUUUCCCGGAAAUCGAAUGGGGGAUGGAUUUUCUUGGGAAUCAAACGGGGGUUGCAAAAAAAAAAAUAACAUGAUUAGAUUAGUACCUGCGAGGAUUGAGAGUGGCAGAGGAAAAUAGGGCCUUUUUAGGGAUUCCCUCGUCUGGAGGGCAACUUCAGAACAGGGCUUCUUGAUGCCCCAGUGAGAGGAGUGGAUGGCCCUUUCCAUUUUUAUAUUUAGUAGGGAGAGAAAACAAGGAAACAAAUCAUGAGAACAAUUUUCCUCUCCUAUAUAAAUAAUUAUUAAUUAUCCAUCUUUAUUUCGAUUAAACCACUACCAAAAUUUCGAUUUUUAUCAGUAAUAUUUUAUAAAUUAAAAUUAAUUUAAUAAGAUAAAUUAUUAAUAAUUUUAAUUAUUUAAAUAAAUUAAUGUUAAUAAAAAAUUUAUUACCACAUAUAUAUAAAAUAAAAUCUUAGAAAUUAAAUAUCAAAUAAAGUAUUUAUAUAAAUUAAUUUAAUUUUUCAUAUAAAAUGUAAUAAAAAUUUAUAAAUAAAUAUUGUCUUCAAUAAGAUGAUUCAUUAGAUGAAACCAUAUCAAUCUUCAUUUUGAUACUAAAGACUAUUACAAUAUCAUAUGUAUUAUAUUUAUGUAUAAAUUGUUUUUACUCAAUAAAAUCAAAUAUUUUUUAAUUCAAUUUUAAUUUUAUACAUUUUCAAAAUUCAUAUUUAUUAUUCUUAAAAUUCAAAUAAAUCUACUGAUGUUUUUCUUCUUGAUCAUAUCUAUAUCAAUUAUAUUUAUAAAAUAACUCUAAAAUAUGUAUUUUUACUUAUUUUAUCAUUUUUUUUAUAAUUUUCUAAAUAUUCCUAUAAAUUUUAAAUAAUUUUCGUUCCACCAAUAUUUUCAUUCUAAUCUUGUAUCUAUCGAAAAUAAAUGAAAGACAAUUUUUUACAACAAAAUUUUUUAUGAUUUUUAAAUCAAAAGUUAGUUUUAAAAUCUCAAAUAUUUUUAAUCCACUAUUAUGUUUUUAAAAUUAUAUAAUUAUUUUUUAAAAUAAUAAAAACAAAUAAAAAUAAUUAAGAUUAUGUUUAGUUUGUUAAAAAAAAAUAUUUUAUCAAAUUUGAUUUAAUAGUGAAAAUAAAAAUAAAAUAAUAAUUAAAAUUACUUAAAAACCAAUGUAACUUAAAUUUUUUUUUUUUUUGAUCUUUAGCUUAAAAAAAAAAAAUAAAUAAAAUGAAUUUGAAAAGAUAAUUAAUCUCUCUAAAAGGAAGAGACUCAAAAUUAUCGGAGGAAGAAAAAAAGGGAGUAAGAUUUGAAGGAUAAAAAUAAAGAAGGAACAAGUGGGUGGGUAUUGCAUUAUAUCCAUGAGUUGAUCAAUAACUAGCUCCAUUUCCUUUCCUUUAUUUUCUUGCCAGCCAAACAAAAUCUCAAGCCUGGAACCAUCAUCCCAGCAACCAUUUAUUAAAAGCCAUACACCAAGGAUUCGUAUAACACCAUGGAAUCAACCAUCAUCACCCUCUCAAACCUACAUGCCAAAGCUACACAGACUACUCCCAAGUUCCCAAAUAACCAAGCUUCAUAUCUACUAGCUCCAAAACGGUUAAACAAGAUGAAAGAAGGAAAGGAAGAGAUUACUUGAUGAGAGCCUGGUAAAGGCAGAUCUGCAAAAAUUACAAGCCUUGUCCACAUAGCUUUAUUUAUAGCCCCAUGAAAGCAGAAUUACUUCUUCAUUACCAAAUGUCAGUAUAGGCAAUGCCAGACCUCCAUCUUCCCAUGGCUGCCAAGCCCUUUUAUCAAUAUGUGAAGAUGCAAACCAAAAUGGUUAGCCCAUCAUCCAAAGCUAGCUCCUCCUCCUCCUCCUCCUUAUUUACACCUAACAGUUUCCCUGAUUCACAACAAGUUCAAUUUCCUUGCUUAACAUCUUUCAGAUAGAACAGAACAAUUACGAUUACAAUCACAAAAUGUAACACCACCCCACAUCUUCCUCUGUUUAGCUAAGCAUUACAAGACCUCAAAGUUGAUGUUCCAUCAUCAUAAUAGGCAUGGUGUAUUUCCAGUCUCAAACAAGUUAGGUUCCAUCCUAACACCAUAAUGGUGGGUUGUUUUACAUCAGACAACGAAUCUGAGUCAGUUAACAGGCAAAAAGAAACAUUCAAUAGUUCAAGAAGAUGGCUUAGAAUUUUCUGAAAACCUCAAAACUGUUUUCAUUUAUAAUUACAAACCAACCCAAAAGUUGAACAAUAUGAGGCACUGGGCUGAACAAUCACCUCAGAACUCUGGUAAAAAGAAUGAAGGUUUCUAUAGAUAAAAUGGCCUUUGCAAAUAAAGCAAUGAGAAAAACGGGAUAUAAAUUAAGGAAUAAUAGAAUGAAAAUGUUGAAAGGAAUUUCACAUGGCUUCGAAGAAUGAAUAGAUUCCGUACCCUUGCCGAGAAAUUACAUGGCUGCCUUGCCCCUCUGUUGAAGUACUAUAUCAUGCACAACUUCCCCUGCUGAGUUAACAAAGUAGGUUUCCUGCCAUGGAAAAAGAACAUUUGUUGGUGCUUCAACAAGAACAAAUUUAGUCAAAAAAGACAAAUACUCACAAUCUCUAAGGAGCUGACUCUAUGAAGAAGGAACCCAUUAACCAUUCCCCUGAGGAAACAAAGAAAAAAAUCACACAAACUUCAUAGUUUCAUAUGUAUGAACCAAUGUAGAACACCAUGAAGAACUAUGAACAGAAAUACUCACUUACUAAAACCUGAUAUUCCAUUUACAGAAGCAAGAGGAAGUUUUUCAUCUAUUGAACCUGGGUUCCUGAUGUAAGCUAUACUAUCUUUACGAGCAUAGUCACUACAUCCCUCCCCACUCAGGUACACAUCCUGGUGAGCAAAUGCAUGGAUAAAGCGUUACUUUCUUCAUAGGCACCAGAAAGAUUCCAAAUUUAACAUAUCAGAAAGUUGUUCAUUCAAUUCAUUAGGAACUGUCUUAGAUUUUCAUAUAUAUUGAAAAUUUGGACUUUGAUCAUCUCAAAAGCAAGUUCUCUAAAGAACCCAAAAUCAAAACCUUGGGCAUGGGAUGUCUUCACCCAUUGAUACUCAAUGGGAAGAGCCAUAAAUACUUACCACUCCAAACUUAUAAAAAAUAUGGUGUAGAUGCUCAUAAAGUUGUAUUUCUAUUCAUUCCCUGUUUCCUUCACAAACAGCCAAUGAGCAGAAACCAACAACUAUGCGCCUGGAUCAUAAGGAGGAAAAAAGGAGACAAUUAGUACUUGGGAUGGAUAGUUUCUUUAUUAAGUUAAACAUGGAGUUGAAAUGGUAGGGGUGCUUGGCAAUGGCAACAGGACAGCAAACAAUGAAGGUCCAACAUAGUAACCAGAGAAAACAAAAGGAAAACGAAUGUUUUAACUCCACAACAAUUUGGGUUAAGGCAAAAUUUAAAUGAAAACCAAAAUUUUAUUGUUGAAAGAAAGAAAAUUUGUGAAAUAAAAUUAAGUUGAGAAGUAGAUUAUCACGCAUCAGAACCACUCUGAACUGACAUGAUUUUCAAUUUUUUCAAAAUUUUCCAGACAUUACAACCUUGCUUAUUCCUAGGUUCAUGCAAUUAUAAACAGCCAAUAUGGUGCAAUGUCUAGUGUCUUUGUCAGCCCAUGUAAUUGAUCAUUUCCAGCACCAUUUAACGGAUUCAUAAGCAUAAAAUCCUUCAAGUUUCAAAGAGGAGCCCGAUUAAGAGGAAAGAAGAAUGAAAUGCAGCAUAAAGGAGCAGAAACCAAAAAAAAAAGAAACAAAUGGGGGAUAAAAUGUGUGAUAAAUACAUAUAUGGGAUAUUGAUAGUGUAACUAAAUGAAAUAGAUAUCAAAUCAAUCAUAUACACAUAUAAAUACAACAUAGAAAUAAGCAUGGCCAUGGUGAAAAAGGGCUGCAAUGUGGGUUGUAACCAGAGAAUGGAAUAUGGACAAGGAGCAUAAAAAAUGAUUUGGCAGGCCAAGAAAUGGCUAUUUUAAUAUGAUGAAAAAGAAAGAGAACAAAAGAAAUUCAUUAUGAACAUGACUUGAAGAGUACACCUACGCUCAAAUAAUGACCAAGUGAUCAACUUUAAAAUCACAUUCCUAACCUCAGCCCUACCCCUCAUGGAAAAAUGGAAAAAAAAAAAAUUCUUAAAAGGCCUUGAGAGGGGUAAACCUGCUGGGACUCAAACCUGGAACCACCCCACAUCCCCACCCCCAACCCAAGCUACUCGAGCCACACCUCAAGGGUGAUAAAGAUCUAACCUUCAGCAUUGAAUAAAAAAUAAUCUAAAUGUGCAAAAAAUAUCCAGCAUUUUCUCAUGCAUUUUAAUUGCUUACUAGACUAGAUAGAAUCUCCAGUCAUUGAUGAGAACAAAGAACUCAGUGUCUUUAUUAUUAUUAUUGAAUAAAAAAUAAUCUAAAUGUGCAAAAAUAUCCAUUAUUUUCUCAUGCAUUUUAAUUGCUUGCUAGACUAGAUAGAAUCUCCGGUCAUUGGUAAAAUUCAAUAAUUCCAAUUUCCACCAGUUGAUUUGUCAAGUCCCUAAUUAAAUAAUGAAAGAUACAAUACUUGAUGAGUUAUAUACUAAAAUACUUGUGCUUCCCAAUCUAAUUCUAACAAGAACCCUACAAAAUGCACACCUUAAUCCAACUCAACCAACACUCAAUCUUGCGAUUACCUCAUAGUCCACAAGGUACAUCGGAGAGACCUAACUUAUCUUGAUGUUACAAGAUUUCACAUGAACAUCUGAAUACUGGUUUCCAUAAUUCUUUGUUAUCAUACAUCUCCUGGGGCAUGGUAAAGAUGAAUAUAAAAACAAAAUGAAAUCAAUACAAGAAGUUGAUAGCCCCUCUAUGAUCAUAACUGGGGUCAGCACAAUCAGUAACAUAAGAUUCAUGGUGUAGUAUUGAAGUGUAUCAUAAACUCAACACAAGCAUAUGCAAUGUCAAUUAUCAUUAAGUCAACAAUGAUAUUAAACAUUGGUAUAAACAAAUGAAACAAUGACAACACAACAGGAAAAAACCUUAUACAACUAUUAAUCUAUCCUCUUUGGUAGUCUUUUAUCAUCUUCCACAAAUUUCCCAUUUUCCUCCAUAUGCUGCUCAGAAUCCGACCCCAUUUUUUUUGUAUCUUUGUCAACAUUAAAGGAAAUAAAUGCAUGCAACUUUUAAAGAUUUGAGGCCAUGUGAAAAACUUGUCAUUUGAUGUCAAGUUUUUUUUUAUAUGAAAAGGUUUUCCAAAAUGAGAAUUGCAGAACUAUCAAUCUAUCUUCAUCUAGGUUUGGAGCUUCUCAAGUCUUUUAUCAAUUAUCAUCCUCCAUAAAAUUCCAGUUUUCUUCUGUACAUUGCUCAACCUCCAACAUAAUUUUUAAUUUUUUUUCUAAUUAAGAUUAAAUACAUGCAUAUUUUGAAGAUUAAGCCAUGUGGAGAAUUGUCAAUCAAUCGUAAGUUUUUCCUAUAUCAAAUGCAUUUUUUAAAAUUUUCGGCCUUGUUGGAAAAAAGACCUAAUGAGAUGGGUUUGUAUCACAAAACACUAAGGAUUGACUCAAAAGUCCCAAUGAAAUUAUAGCUACUGUAAAAACCAUGUAACCGCUUCCAAACUUAAACCCAUAUUACAAGAGGAUAGUAGAAGAGGCCUCUCUUCCGACUGACAUAAUAACCAUGAGAAGUAUUAGCCAACAAAUCUUAAAUUGAGCAAAUUCAACAAACCAGUUGAUACCUUAAAUGCCCCAGUAUCCAAACCAAUAAUGUCUAAGGUUUUCCCAAAAGGUAUUUUGAUCUGCUUUAGGAAGUAACCUGUUCCCCGUCCUCUUGAAACUCUGGUACUGUACCUACAAGAAUUACAAUUCAGGAUUACCACACAAAGAGACUAAACCAAAAAGACUGUUACAUUAAAAACUACAUCGGAGUCCAAGUUUUGUAACAAUGAAAUUUCAAAAGAUGAGCUACAAAAAUGACACAACUGAUUGCAAAGCGGAUGGCAUACCAGGGAACUUUCAGUGUUGAAAAACGCCAAGUACCCUGUAAAAGAAGAUGUCAUCUUCUAAGAUUGUUCCUAACAGAUGAAACCAAUGAAAUCUAAUUAAACUCAGCACUAAUUUAUUUUCCAAUCACACACCUAUAAAACAAAACAAAAUAAAACUACAGAAAUAAAUAUGAACCACUAUUCCAUUACUUCAACCAAAGCAUGGUUUCUAUUAUUUCAGUUAAAUUCACAAAAAGUUAGGAGAGAAUCAUUUCUACAACUUACCCAGAGUGAAGCAACGCAUAACUUUGAUUAAAUCUGGCUAAACUACAACUAAAGUUUCCAUAUAAAUGGAGUGUAAGCCUAAAGGUGCCACAAGAGAGUUCAUAUAAAAAAUAGUAAAAGGGCUUCCCACAUUGAAUUUACUAGCCAUGGUCUUACAUUGUGUGAGUUGAUCGUCUUCCCCAAGUUCACUAAUGUUUAUCACAAACCUUGCCUUAUAAGUCUUUGCGGCCUUCUCCAUCUUCAUGGGAAAAAACAAUUCCAAUUAGAACAGGGAAGAUAAAAUAUAAACUCAAAAUGCAAUUAAUGUAGUAGACGAUAAUCAUUCAACUAAGAUCAGUAACAGAGGGGGGAAAUAACAAAGCCUAAAAACAGAGAAGGUGGAAGGCAGAAGUAAGUUGGAUGAAUUAGAACCAAGAAGACAAGACAAGAUCAAAACCAACAGAUGAGAAGGCUGACACAAACAAUUGAGAGAGAUCAAAAACUGAACCAUAUAAUAAAAAACUCACUCACAUGAUUAUUCUCUGGCCAAAAGAUAAAGGUUAUGUUAUUAUUUUUUUAUGUUUAGUUUCAAAGUAGAAAAUAAGCGAUAAAAUCAAAUAUAAUUAAAAUUAUUUAAAUUAUAUAUAUUUUUCAAUUAUUUAGUCUAUACAUAGAACAGAAAAAAUAAAUAAAAUGAAUUUGAAAUAAUAUAAAAAAUAAUUUAUUAAAUUUAAUUUAUUUUUAAAUUUUCUUUAUCGCUUUUUCUUUCUUCCUAUUUUUCUUUUCCAUUUUUUUCCCACAUUUUCUCUUAAAUUUUCCACUAAGCAAACAAAGCCAAAGAUCCUCAAGUUGCAUAUACAAUUAAAAACGGAAAAAGAAAGAUCUUCUACUGUUCAACAACUGUCAUAUUAAAAAAAAUAAUAAAAAUAAAAAUUCGAUCCCAGUAAAACCUAACACAAAAUUCUUUCCUCAAAGUUAAAUCAUUCACAUAGAAAUUAACUGAGAAAGAAAUAAUAAACUGUUUGGUUGCUGAGAAAAUGGAGGCAUAGAAAAGGAAAUCAAAAUUUUGAAACUCUAUUAUUUCCAUUAUUCGAAGGCCCGGAAGAAAGAGGGAAAAAACUUCCACUCUUACCUUAAUUUAGGUUGUUUUGUCAAUUUCGAGGGAGGAAAAAACAGGAAAUUAAUUUCAAGCGAUUUCACUUUCAGCAUUCUCAGUAACCAAACGGAGCGUCUGAUAAAACUAUCAUAUCCACCAACAGAGCCAAAACCAAAUAUACCCACCAUCAACAUCUUAAAACAAAAUCCAUAAAGAACGAGAAAAACCCAUGCUUUUCUUCAAUGAACAAAAGGAAUCAAUAGAGAGGAUGAGAAAUAGACCUGUUUGAGAAGAUGGGUCUGCUGAUUAAGAGGUCUAAAUCCUCCUCUAACACUGAUAAAGUAAAGGUCAAGAGGCCUGCUACUGCCACUGCUGCUCUGGGACAUGGGCUUCUCCCAAGGCCGACCCAAGUUGAAUGCACAAGCAGAGAGACAACUGUGUUAUAACAGUGCGAACCCAUGAAGGUUUCCCCAUUGUUAACACAGGUCUCACAGCCUCAGCUCUUCAACUGGUAAUUGAUUUCACUCAUAGAUCUGAAGAUAUAUGAGGAAUGUAACCGUCGACACCCGUAUCUCUAAUUUCCUCAGUGUUAUCAAUUGCUUGAUUAAGAUAUUCGCUAAUGAAGCUCCACUUGGCAGUUGGCAGGCAGGACCCAUUAUUGAAGGGAAAUGCCUCUACAGUUCGUUUAUAUUAUGGACUCUUUGACUAAAAUCGCUUUGUCAUAUUUGAAACUUUCCUCACAAACAAACGCACCAUCAGCCAUUAAACAUCAUAUUUCAGCAUUCUUUUUUUGCCCUUUUGAUAAUUGUGACACUGUCACACUCCUAUCUCCUAAUUUUCAAAAAUUAUUUUAAAUUUAUAAAUUGAGUUACCACUUCAAAAUAUAAAUUUUUAAAAUAAAAUUAAGUACAUUUAUACUAAAUAUGUGUAUUUGCGUUUAUUACCUUGUAAUAAUAUUUUAUUUAUUUUAUUCUUUAUUAUUAUUGUAAUUUAGAUGAGUUGGUUCGAUCUAAUCUAAUAUUUGAACGAAUUUGGAUAUUUAUUUUUAAUAUUCAGAUUAGACUUUGGUUCAUUUUUUAAAUCUCAUCUUAAUUUGGAUUUGGCUUGAGAGAUACCUCUAAUGAAAAUUAUUAUGGUUCUCUUUAUACAUUCUAUUCUAUUUUUCUUUUAAUAUCUUUGUUUAUUCUCUCGUCUUUUCUUCUUCUUAUUCUUUUAUUUCACAACAUGUUAUCAACACAGUUCUGAAUAUAUAGAAAAAGAGAAGAAUUCAUCUAGAAAAUUUCUUAUAGGUAUGUAGUCUUAUUCUCUUCGAAUGAAAUAUGAAUAGUAUGCAUUGUAUUAUUAUAAUUUUUAUUUACUUUAUCUCAUAGCCAGAAAUUAUGUGAAUCAUAUUUCAUAUAAUUACAUAUUUUAAUUAUUUAAUAACUAGAAGUUAUAUAGAAAAUUUUUCAUAACUAAAAGUUAUGAAAAAAAUAUGUCCAAUCUUUAUAACAAGAUGUUAUGGAGUAAAUUACAAAAAUACAAAUACGUAGUCGGAAACUAUGCAUAAGAUCCCUAAUUACUUUUUUAUUAUAUUAUAUAACUGAAAGUUAUAUAAAAUAACAUUAUAUGGCCAGAAGCUAUAUAAUGAAGAGUUCAUAAUAUGAAGCUAUGUACAAAUCCAAAAUUACAAAUAUACGACCAGAAGCUAUGUAUAUAACUCAUAAUUAUUUGUUUUUAAUUAUAUAGUAUAACUGAAAGUUAUACAAAAUAAUAUUAUAUAGCCAGAAGCUAUAAAAUGAAUAGUUUAUAGCUUGAAAUUAUGCACAAAUCUGCAUAAUGAAUAGCUCAUAGCUUGAAGUUAUGCACAAAUUUAUAUAAAAAAUAGUUCAUUGCCUAAAACUAUGUACAAAUUUAAAUAUUUUCUUGUUAUGACAAAAUAAUCAUAACUUGAAGUUAUGAAAGAUAUUAACUUUUAAUUUCUUUAUUUUCUUUUAAUUAUAUUGUGUAACCGGAAGUUAUACAUAAAUAGUUUAUAGUCUGAAGUUAUGCACAAAUUUACAUAAAAAAAAAAGUUCAUACCCUGAAUCUAUGUAUAAAUUUGCAUAUUUUUUUGUUUUGAUAAAAUAAUUAUAACUCAAAGUUAUGAAAAAAUAUUGGCUUUUAAUUUUUAUUUCAUAUUCACUUAUUUUUCACAAUAGAAAUCAUGGAAAACAAUUUUUAUUAACAAUGGUUUCAUAACCAGAAACUAUGCAAACAAUUUCUAAUUCUCUUGUAUAACCAGAAGUUAUACAAAACAAAAUUGUCAAUGAACAACUAUGUACCUAGAAGAUAUAUAAUUUUUUUUAAAUUUUGUUAUAUAAUCAGAAGUUAUAUCAUAAUAUAAUUGUCAAUUGUUUAAUGUUAUUAUAACAUUAUUUAAAUUUUAAUUAUUCAUAGCCUGAAGCUAUGAAGAUAAAGUUAGUAAAUUAUUAAUUAUUAGAGCUUGUAUAAGAAGUUAUAUGAAUAUAUAUAUAUAUAUAUAUAUAUAUAUAUAUAUAUAUAUAUAUAUAUAUAUAUAUUAUAACCAGAAGUUAUAUAAAUAUUAUUAUUCAUAAACCAAAGUUAUGAAAAUAAGAAAAUUAAUAUUCUUUGUGCUAAUCAAAUGUUAUGUCAAAGUUGCUAAUAUGUACUUUUUUUUAUAGUUAGAAGCUAUAGAGAACAAAAUUGUUAACUAACAAUUUUGUACAACUUUAUGAAAUUUAUAUGACCAAAAGUUAUAAUGAAAUAUAUUAUAGCUUGAAGCUAUGAUAACAAGCAUAUAGAUAAUAUUUACAUAUUAUCAAAAGAUUAAUAUUUUGUAUAUCAAGUUAUACAAAUAGACAAGUGUUUGAUAGUUUUUAUAAAUUUCUAUUAUUAGAAGUAUAUUGUCAUUAGUAGAAAAAUUUAUAUAUAGAUGUGGAAUUUUGAAUUGCAUGAAAGUAUGAUAUUUUUGUAUCAGAGGCGAUGGUUUGGAAUACUUUUUUUAUUCAAGUUAUUUAAUAUACAAUAAUAUUUUGAUUUAGAAAUUUGAGAUUUUUUGGGUACAUGUGAAAUAUAUGACUUGGUCAUAUGAUUAAUAAAUUGAUUUCGCAUGUCUUAUUUGUUUAUAACAUGUUUUUAUGAUUGAAAUUUUUUGAGUUGUAUAAAAUAAUAUAUAUUAUUGUAUGUUGUCACAUAUGAUAUUUUUAUUAAUGCAUUAAUUUCAUUAUUCAAGAAUAUCUUUUCAAAAACAAUAGAUUCAACUAUUAUUUUUAAUAUAUUAUGUUAUAUCUUUACAUACAUAUUUAUAUAGAUUUGUAAUGUUUCAAUUGAAGUUUUGAAAUAACAAGAUGCUUUAAAUCAUGAUAUGUUCUUUUGAAAUUUUGAUUUAUGAAUUAAUUUCUGCACAUUGAUUUAGAACGUAAUAAUAUUUUGAAUAAAAAUUAUUGAUUUAUCACUACAAUUAGUUUGAUUAUUGAAAGACUUCCUAGUUAUUUCAUAUAUAAAUUGCUCCACACUUAUAAAAUCAAAUGUGUGAGAUAUUUAAGAAACAUAUAACUUUAAAUUAUCUUUUUCAUAUUUGUUUUGUUGUGUUAUAUAUGCUUUCAUUGUUUUUACACAACUUAUUAAGGUAAGUCAUCAUCGAUGACUAGUAUUUUUCCAUUUGAUUUUAACUCAUUCUCUAUGAUAAUAUUUCUUCAACUUUGAGGUCUUUAUGACAUGUUUUAUGACUUGUUAUUUUGAUGAAACUCUUAUCUCAUUAAUUGCACAACAUUGAUAACAAACAAUGUUAAUACUAUAUCAGGUGAUAUAAACCUAAUUAAAGGCUCUAGAAUAACUUAUAAUAUGUCACUAGUAGUAUUUGAUUCCAUGUGAAUGACACUUUAUACGAUGAUAGAUCAAGAAGAAUCUUGUAAGACCAACUUGGUCCCCCAUGGUAAAAGGUCGUAUGGAUGUACAUUAUAAAACCAGAAGUUUUUAUUUAGUAACUAGUCUACCUAUACACUUGAAAGAUAGAAUGACACGUUGUGCAGAUUAUCAUUUUAAUUAGACAAUUUUCUUGCCGUUAGGGAUAGAAGAGUCAAUUCCAGAAGAACAGCGUGAAAUUAUUUGGAAUGCAUCGACUUUGACUUAUCUUGAUCCUCGUACUAAUCAAUGUGAAGUGGAAGUUCAAAAGAUUAUUUAUUUGCAAGAACUUGUAAAUCAUUAACUACAUGUUAUCAUUGAUGCAAAGAAAGUGACAAUCAUUUUCGCUUACCUAGAACAUUCCAGUACGAAUUAAUGUCCCUGAAUGACAAUUAAAUAAUGCGUUGAUGUCCCUAAAUGACAAUUAAAUAAUGAGUUGAUGUCCCUGAAAGACAAUUAAAUAAUGAGUCUAAUGCACACUUGAAGCGUGGUAAACCCUGAAAAGGCAAACAAAUUCCUUUAAAAGAAAAACACAAGGAAAGAUAUAUGAAAUGUGACACUCUUGAAGAAGUUGCAUAUAAAAUGAGUUAUUAAAAUGAUUGAUCAAUCUCAAGCAGCCCCUGAAGAGGCACAGUUUAAACAAGUAGCCCUAUGAUAGGUGUAUGUUUAAUAAUUAGUUCCUGAAAAUGUACAAGUACCUGAUAUUGAUGAGAUCUCAAUUAUUUACUUAUAUAUGGAAAAAAAAUGGGAUUGAAAUACUCUUGUCAUUAACAAUAUAUUUUCUUUCCAAAUAGCUGUUGACAUUAUAAGAAAUGAUGAGGAUCCCAAAGUAGAAACUAUGAAUGAAUGUCAACAUAGAAAAUAUUGGCCAAAAUGGAAAGAAUUCAUCCCGAAUAAAUUAUACUCAUUAGAAAAAUGAGAAGUAUUUGGACAUGUAGUCUAAACGCCUGAAGUUGUCAAACUUAUUGGAUAUAAAUGAGUAUUUAUAAGAAAGUGUAAUGAGAAAAAUGAAAUCACAAUAUAUAAAAUGUGACUCAUAGCUCAAGGUUUUCCGCAGAAACCUACUAUUAACUACGAGGAAACAUAUUCUCCUAUGAUGGACGCAACCAUAUUUAGAUAUCUAAUUUGUUUAACAAUCUUAGAAUGACUAGAUUUGCGUUUCAUGGAUGUCAUUAUUGCAUAUUUACGUGAAUCUUUAGAUAAUGACACACACACACACACAUAUAUAUGAAAAUCCCUGAAGGAUUUCAAAUGCCUGAAGCAACAAAUUCAAAACAUUGUAGCAUAUACUCAAUUAAGUUACAAAGAUCCUUGUAUCAAUUAAGCAAUCCAAAAACAUGUGAUACAAUCACUUCAAUGAAUAUUUGAAGCGAGAAAUAUGUAUGUAUUACCUUAUUUAUUUAUACAUAUUCAUUAUAUUGAAUUUUUUCAAUUAUUAUUGUAUAUGUGGAACAUUGAUUUUUUUUGGAACUCCUGAAGAGCUUACAAAAAUAGUUGACUAUUUAAAAAGUAAUUUUUGAAAUGAAAGAUCCUGGAAAACAAUUUUUUUUUCCUCGGCCUGCAGAUCGAGUAUUUUUCAAACGAAAUAUUAGUUUAUUAGUCAACAUAUACAAAGAAAUUCUUGAAGCACUUUUAUAUGGAUAAAUCACAUCCAUUAAGUUCUUUGAUGAUAGUUCAUUCACUUGAAGUGAAAAAUGACUCCUUCUGUCCUAAAGAAGAUAAUAAAGAACUACUUGGUCCAAAAAUACCAUAUUACAGUGUUAUUGGUGCACCGAUGAAUCUUGUAAAUUAUACAUGACCAAAUAUUGCAUUCUUUGUUAAUUUACUUAUGAGAUAUAGUUCUACACCAAUUCAAAGACAUUGGAAUAAAAACAAUCAUGUACUACAAUAACAUGGGUCUAUGUUAUUCCAAAUGAUCAGAAUCUUAAGUGCUUGAAUAUGUAGAUGUUGACUAUCUUUCACACCCCCACAAAGCUCGAUUUUAAAUGAGGUAUGUAUUUAUCUAUGGUGGUACGACAAUAUCGUGGAGAUUAAUCAUGCAAAUAAUGGAAACAUGUGGACUACCCUCCAUCAAAGGUAAUGCUACCAAGUUAAUAAUGUUGCAUGCAUUGCACAUAUUAAAGAAUGAUACAUUAAGGGUGAUAGAAUUAAGUAUAUAUCGUCCAAGUCUUUUACUUUCAUUAACUCAAAAAGAGUGAUGAAAUUGCUAUUCGACGACAAUUUAGUAGAUCUAUUCACAAAGGCAUUGCCAAUUGUAAUACUCAAGAAGCUCAUUGGAAUACAGCGACUCAAAGAUCUCCAUGUUGUGCUACUAGAGAAAAUAUAAUCAUGUCAACAUGAGGGGGAGCUAAUUGAUAAGAAUAUCACUACGCUACACUCUUUUUUCCUUCAUCCAAGUUUUGUCCCAUUGGAUUUUACUGGCAAGGUUUUUAAUGAGACAGUUGUGGUAAUCCAAAAAAAUAUUGUACUCUUUUUCUUUCACUAGGGUUUUUCCCAUAGGGUUUUUCCUAGUAAGGUUUUAAUGAGACAUUCUUAUGAUCAUCCAAGGAGGAGUAUUAUAAAAUAUGAGAUUUUGUAUCACUAUGGUAACUUGUGGAUGAUCAUUCAUAUUAAUGUACAUCUCUUUGUAACUCCCUAUAAAAAGGAGAUACCUCUAAUGAGAAUUAAUCCGGUUCUCUUCCUAUAUUUUGUUAUACUUUUCUUUGAAUAUCUUUGUUUAUUCUCUCGUUUUUUUUUUCUCAUUCUUUUAUUUCACAACAUAUAUAUAUUGUUAGGAAUUUGAGGCUAAUCCAACUUAUGGUAAUCACCCUAGAGGGGGGGGGGGGGUGAAUAGGGUGAUGGUCUCUUUUCGCAAAUUUAAACAAGUGAAUGUAAGAGACAAUUAUAUACAAAUAUCAAUAUAUAUAUAUAUAUAUAUAUAUAUAUAUAUAUUGUUAGGAAUUUGAGGCUAAUCUAACUUAUGGUAAUCACCCUAGAGGGGGGGGGGGGGUGAAUAGGGUGAUGAUCUCUUUUUGCAAAUUUAAACAAGUGAAUGCAAGAAACAAUUAUAUGCAAGUAUCAAUAUAUAGACAAUUGCAUAUAAAUUAAAGAGUAGGGAAGAGAGAAUGCAAAUACAAGAGUUUAUAGUGGUUCGGCGCAACCCGACCUACAUCCACUCUCCUCUAAUUUCAAUCCUGAGCUUGAGGUUCCAUUAAUCCAAGACUUCCAAACCAAGCCUUCAAGCAAUACAAUUGGAUUAUGGUUCCAAUUCACCCUCUUGGACUUUUGGCUCCAAGCACCCUUUACACUUCUCAAGAGAUAUCCCACUCUUGAACAACCCUUCAAGUGAUACCCCACACUUGAGAAACUUCCUCUCAAAGAUUUACAAAUGAAUGAUCUCUCAAAAAUCCUAGCACAAAAACUUUAAGCUCAAAUGAUACAAGAAAAACUAUGAUUGAAUGGUGCACUAAAGACAUGCAAGUUUUGAAAUAAUGGUGCACUAAAAAAUACUCUUCCAAGGCUCAAAUAUAAUCAAGAAAGAUUUGGGAAGAUUAAGCUCUCGAAACAAUGAAUAUUGGAGCCUUUUUAUAGAAGAAAAAAACCAAACUAGCCGUUGGGGGUUCGUCCGGUUGAGCUAGGGGUUGAUUGGUUGACUAGCCGUUAGCAUUUAAUGAUUGGUAGGUGACUGUUGGGCCUCAAUCGGACCUCGACCGGACCUCAACCGGUUGAUGUUCAACCUUGACCAGGAAGAGAAGGCCACUAGGAGAGAGAGAAACUUUUUAGCCUCCUUCAACCGGUCCUCGACUGAACGAGCACAACCGGUGAAUCGGUUGAACCGGUUGAAUCAUUUUUUGGCUCAAUACCCAACCUUUUUCAACUUAAAACCUUUUAACACAAGUUUGAAAAUCAUUUAACACAAGGUUUUAGUUAAAAAUAUGAAAUCAUCCAAUUCUUAAAAUUUUUAAAACAAUAUUACUUUUGGAUGAUUUUGAUGCAAAAAUAAAGAAUGAAAUGCAUGAAAGUCCUAGUGCACCAACAACCUUACAAAGAGAUCUUAUGAAGCUUUGGUCUUAAAAAAAUUUUCUCUUUGAGGUGAUCUUCUUCUUCAUGAUUUCUCCUUGGCUUGAUUUGUCUUUAUGAUUGCCACUUUGGAAAUCAUUUUGCCUAAUCACACUUGAAAUAUGACCAUUAGUUUUAAACCUUGUUUUGUUAUCAUCAAAAUCAAGAUUAACCAAACUUUGGUUUCACACACACACACACACACACACACACAUAUAUAUAUAUAUAUAUAUCAAACUAUAAUUAUAUAAUUUUUUUAAAUGUAUAAAUCCAUUUUAUUUUUUUAUUAUCUUAAAAUUUUUAUUUUUAAAUAUAGAAAUGUAUUUUUGUUAAAAAAUUAUAUUUCAUAUUUUUGUUCCAUUAUUACUUUUAUUCCUUCUUUUUUGUUUGAUUUUUGCAUGUUAUGUUGUCCAUUUUUCAUUUUUAUUUCUUUCAUUUUUUUUAUUUGGAAAAAAAUAAAUAAAAUAUAAUUAAUAGUGACAAAUGAAAAUAAAAAAAGAAAUGUUGAAAAAUAAAAAUAAAAUUGGUCAUUUUCGUGCAUUUUAUUUUAUUUGUGUGUUUUGAUUAUUCUCCUUUUUAAACAAUUGCAUAAAAGAAAAAAAAAUGAAAAUGAUUGUAGGUGAUUUUCUUGAGGAAAGUAUUCGAAAGUUGAUGUAUAAUGUCAAAGAAGAGUCUUCGUUGUAGGUGGGACGAGAGAGAAAGCUACUUUGAAUUUUGAAACUUUACCAUCUAAAAUCAAAACAAAAUCAAGUGCAAUUUAUGCAAUUUUGUAGGAAAUUAUUAUUAUUAUUAUAAUGGUAUAACAAGUUUAAUAUAAAAAAUAAAAAAAUUGUAGUAUAAAAAUAUUAUAAUAAAAUAAAUAAAUUUAUUUUUAAAAAUAUGAAAAUUAAUAUAAAAAUAUUAGGGAAAAAUUAUGUGUACACAUAAAAAAAUAAAAAAUAAAAAUUGAUGGAUUAAAUUACUAUUGAAAUUAUAAUCCGACUUAAAGUCAAAUUAGAAGAAUUUUAUGAAAUGUCAUAUCAAAACUAAAAUACUAAAAAAUGUGCAGAAUCAAAAGAAAAUUAUAAUUUUGUUCGUGAAAUUAUGACUAUAAACAAUAACUCAAUUCAUUUUCAACUCCAGUAAAAAAUUUGAUAAGUUGUGUAUAUGCAUGUCUUGUUUAAAUCUCAAUAUCUAUAAGAUCUAGUGAAUAAUAGUGUGGACUCCGCAUUUUGCACGAUGUGUUCUCACUCAAUAGCGUGACUUGCUUUUCGUUUAUUUGUGAAAAAUUAUGAUUUUUAGAAAAUACUUGGAGUCGCCACUUAUUUUUGUUUUAUUUUUUUAAGGGAAAACAAAGUAAGAAAAAAACUCUAAGUGUGACUCUUUAUUUAGAAAAAACGGUUUGUGAAAAACCAAACCUGGGUUUGGGGGGUUAGGUUACUUAUUGAGAAGGUAGGGUAAAGACCGUAGCACCCCUCUAAACCCCUAAAAAUGGGUCUCUACUAAAUAAGGUGAGUCAAACCUGACAAUUAACUAGGAGAUCAAUGGAUACUAAAAUGAUCAUAGGUCAAAAGCAAGUCAUGAUAAUGAAUAAAUAAAAAAAGUGAGAGUGAGAACGUACCUUGACAGUAGGUAAUAAAGCGUUAUCAUGGAAACAAGGUUAGCUUAAGUAUAAAUUUAUUACACGCAUAUCAAAGAUCAAGACAAAAAUCAAGCAAUAUUCGUUAAGCAUAACAUUUGACAAUCAGAAGAGAAAACUCAUAUGUGGGACCCCCACCAAAGCCCAAUUUAUCUUGCACGAAUUAGUCUCACAAAUUUCAUUAUUUUGGAAUUAUGAAAAAUUCAUUUUUGCUUAUUUAAAAUAAAGAUAAACAAAAAAUUAUUUGAUAAUUGAAGAAAAUUUGUACAUGUGCAUACCAAAAUGAGAAUGGUAGCAGACUCAUUAAAAUCAGGAUUUUUGGCAACCUAAAACCCUAAUAAAUGAUGAAAAGUUGUAGAAAUUAAAAAAUAUUUGAAAAUUGGAGUGGAAUUAAAAUUGUUCAAGAGAAAACUAGAGUUUUGAAAAUUGAAGUCUAAAAAAUUAUUUGAGAAUUGGAGUUUUGAAAAUUAAAUUUAAGAAUUUAAAUUUUUAGAAAUUAAAUUUGAAAGAAAUUUGAAAUUUGAAAAUUAUUUGAGAAUUGGAGUUUUCAAAAAUUAAAUUUAAGAAUUGGAAUUUUGGAAAUUAAAUUUUGAAAGAAAUUGGAAUUUUGAAAAUUAUUUGAGAAUUGGAGUUUUGAAAAUUAAAUUUAGGAAUUGGAGUUUUGGAAAUUAAAUUUGAAAGAAAUUGGAGUUUUAAAAAUUAAUUGAGAAUUGAAGUUUUGAAAAUUAGUUUUAAGAAUUGGAAUUUUGGAAAUUAAAUUUGAAAGAAAUUGGAAUUUUGAAAAUUAUUUGAAAAUUGAAGUUUUGAAAAUUAAAUUUAAGAAUUUGAAUUAAAUUUGAAAGAAAUUGGAAUUUUGAAAAUUAUUUGAGAAUUGAAGUUUUGAAAAUUAAAUUUAGGAAUUGGAGUUUUCGAAAUUAAAUUUGAAAGAAACUGGAGUUUUGAAAAUUAAUCGAGAAUUGGAGUUUUGAAAAUUAGUUUUAAGAAUUGGAAUUUUGAAAAAUUAUUUGAAAACAAAAGUUUUGAAAAUCAGAAUUUCGAAAAAUUAUUUGAGAAUGGAAUUUUUAAAAGAUCAAUUUUUUAACAUAAAAAGAUGGAUUAGGAGGGUGACACGUCAAACAUUGGAUAGCAGCCCUCUAGAGUGGAAUCCCAAGGUUCUCCUCAAAAAAUACCUCAAUGCCUAAAUGGCUAAGCAUCUGUCUAAAAAAAAAAAGUAGCAAUAGUAGGUUUUCCAUUUGUUCCAGUCACUACUAAUAUCUUAAUACUUCUUGGAAGAAUUUCUGCAGCAAAAUCCAACUCAGACAGUAUUCUCUUCCCUGAUUGCAACAAGAAGGAAAGUCCAUGACUUUCCAAGGGAACUCUUAGUGAAACAACUACCAUUUCGGCAUCCUUGAGAAGCUUUGUGUCAAAAUGUCCAAGAACGAUUUUCAAAUGACCAUGCUUUUCAAACAGGAGAUCGAGCUCUAGCGAGAGCAAGCUUUGUUGCAGCUCUACCAGAUUUUCCCAACAAGAAAACAGGAAGCUCUCAACCAAACCCAAAUUCACGAAAGAGAAUCAAACCAUAUGGGAAACAUCCGGAUCGGCGCGGUAGCUACAGUCUUGUAACAAAUCUCACUUGGGGUCUAGAGAUUCAUGCUACCUCAAGCUUUUUCUUAUCAGCCUCAUCAUCCCAUGGUUUCACAUCCUAGUGUACAAUCGCAUACCCAAGAAUGCACAAACACAAGGAGUAGGGAGAAAACAACAAAAACAUAGCACAAAUGAAGAAAAUAAUAUGAACCAUCAAAAGCCACACUUCAUGUCUUAGUCAGUGGACUUAAAGAUAGGUGGAUUAAAAGGAUUUCUAAAUGUCACAAAAGAGAUAAAAAUUAGUUGGACCAAUUUUUGAACACAAAUUGGAGGAACAAAGGAGCCAUUAACUAUGAAAAAAAAAAUAAAGAUUGGUCGUAUUGGAGAAAGACAACAUUUGGUAUUGCAGAAGAGAGACAACAUUGUGUCACAUGAUGCAUGCACAAAUGACCCUUCCCAUGGGCUUAUAUUGGAGGUGGGAAGCUUCUGAAAACUCCUUAAGCCAUCUAUACUAAGCUAUUGGUGGGAAGAGUGUGGAAGCUUCUUAAAAAGCCUAGGGAUGUCCACAUAUCUCUACAUUAUGGUGGAAGGCAUGAGAAAAGUCUAAGACUUUCUAGAGAGCUCUAGAGGUCUCUUGUAUAUUCUUGUAUGUAAGCUUGUACAUAGAAUUAUAUAGGGUGUUCUAGAAUAUCCAUGAGUUGUAAGGAACCCUCUAAGGUUCUAGAGAGUUCCAUUGGUGUUUAUAAAUAAGUGAGGGUCUCAUUUGGCCAAGGCACCAAGCAAGUGAGUUUCCAAGCAUUAUAUAGCUUUCUUUGAAAGCAGUAAAACUUCUAUUAUUUAAGUGUUGCCUACUACGCCCUCUAAAGUUUUUAAGUUGGGUGCGUCUUAGCGUAGCAAGCUAAGUAUUAGGAGUAAUGUUAACUUAUCAAGAUCAAGGGUCUUGACUUGUCUAAGUGUCGCACAAGCUUAGGAAAAGACUAAGUUUAUGACAGUUGGCAAUAGGUUGUGGAUAAGUGGUGGUGGUGAUGUGGAGAAAGUGAAGGAAACAUAGAAAAAUAAAGACGGGAAAGGAAAAGAGAGAGAAAAAAAGACUACUAGGUAGGGGAAGCUAUGAGCGGUGGCCAACGACGACACUAAUGGAUAAUGUCGUCAAUAGUGGCGGUAGAUUCGAUGGAAGCGGUAGAUUCGGUGGGAAGUGAGAGGUGACGGGGAAUUGAACUUUGGUUCUCCUCCCAUUGCAAUCACCAUCAUUCUCAUUUUCCGCUUAGGAUCAAUGUGCCCCCUCUAAACAACAUUGACAACCCCGUCAUCUUUUUCAUUUCUAGUGUUGUUUUCUAUAAUUGGAACUAGGUUUUCAAAAACAUCAACUAUCUUUGGAGGAGUAGUACUAGUAUUGUGAAUGAUUGAAACUGUGAUUUCAAAAUUAGGUUGGGUUCCAACAUAGAGGUAAUAGAGGUUGUUAAGCCUUUAGGAAGACAUGCACAAGUGAACAAUGUUCUUAGAGAUUAUAAUGGUGGAAGAAGGCCAUAAGAAGACAAGAAAAGAAAAGGGAAAAGAGAAAAGGACUCUCUUUCACGCCACCUACCCAUUUUCAGUGUUGACACCUUUCUCCCAUUGGCAUCAUCCUCUCCAAUCGUCACCUACCAAUCAUCACCACAUCUCUUACUUUCAUGACAAUUUUUUUUAAGAUAAUUUUGGAACAAAUUCAAAAACAUUGUUAGAGUGCAUGCAUUAUUAAAUUUUUUUCUCCACUUUAUACUUAAAAUGAAAAGAUAAAAGCAAAAUUCCAUAAACCUUAUAGCUCGUUUAACCAUAUAACUUAAAAACAAUUUUUUUAACACUUUCAAUUGUGGUUGUUCAUUAUUCUCAAAAAAAAAUAAAAAAUAAAAUAAAACUAGAUUGAAAAAAAAAUCAGGAAACAACCUCAUUGAUUUAAAUUAUUAUUUAAUUACUCCCAUAAUCGUAUGAUUAUUCUUAUGUUUUUGUUAUGUUAUAUUAACAAGUGAAUACUAUGUUGUUAAUUCUGGAUAUCCUUGUACUAUAGGUUUUCUUCCUCCAUAUUGAGGUAAAAGGUAUUAUUUGUAAGAUUAUCCUAGCAGAAGUUGUUAAUCGAAGACUAAUAAAGAAUUGUUCAAUUAUAGGCAUUCUCGUUUAUAAAUAUAAUUGAGUAUUGUUUUGUGUGUUAAAAGCACAUUUUUCAGUUUUAAAAAUGAUGUCAUCUUACAAACCAAGUAGACAACUAUAAAUAGUUGUAGCUUGUUGUACUCUUUAUAAUUUCAUUCAUAAAUAGACUUAAAAUGAUGUUAUGUUUAGACAAUGGGAAGAAGAACUUGAAUUUGAAGAUAAGGACGAUACUACAAUUGAAGUAAGUUAUGCAAUGACUUUAUCAGAUGAAACAACAACGACUAUGAUAGCUUAUCGAGAUCGUAUUUCAUAGUAGAAAUGGAAUGCUUAUGUUAAUAGUUUGUAAACAUUAGUCAUUAAAUAGUUAUAUUAAUAUACGAAGUAAGGAUGUGAAAUAUGAAAAUUGUUUAACUAUUAUAAUUGACUUGAAGUAUUUUGUGUGUACUUGGUUUGCAAUUGUUUUUGUUUCAAUUUAUUUUAUUUUAUUUGUUUUUCCUAUUAAAAAAAUCAAUCCAACUAUUUAUUUUACUCUCAUUAAAAAAUGACUAUUAAAAUUAUUUUUAAUCUUAUAGUAAUUUUUGUUUUAUUUGAAUAAAAAAAAUUGUUUAAUAAUUAAAACAAUUAUUUAUCUAUAAUUUAUAUAUAAUUUGAAUUUUAUUUAUUUAUUUUUAGUGAGAUUUAACUUGAAUGUGAUUUAUAUUAAUGUAAAUUAAAUUUUAAAAAUAAAAAUAGAAAAAUUGUUUUUAAAACCAAAGUCGAUUCUUUUAUACAAACAAGUUUUUGUUUUUUAUCUUUAAAAAUUAUUUUUGAAAACAAUUGGCCAAACAAUUUUUCUUUUUAAAAAAUACUAAAAAUGCCAUUUUUUAUUCUUUAUCUUAAAAAUAAUUUUUUAAAUUAAAAAACACAAUCAAACACCUUAUUUUGUUUUUAUUUUUGGUGUCUGGUUGCAUAAUUUUCCCAUUUUUUAAAACUGAAUUUCAAGCAAGCUCUUAAUUAUGUAAUUAAAAACUUGUUUGGUAGUAAUUUUAAGAAGCGAUUAUAAUAUUCCUAACACUUAAAAAAAAAAUUAUUUUUCAAGUAUACAACGUAGAAAUACUUGUGAGGAUCACUGCUACACAUGCUCUAUGUAGACAUAUCCCACUUCUAAGUUCUAACUCUUCAACGUCUGAACUCUUUUGAUGAAAUCCACACUCAAACCACCCAAAUCCAAGUCCCAAAUGCAGCCACUGCUUCAUCCAGGUCUGCUUCAUUCUCAUUUCAUCACUUCCUUUUUCUAUUAAUUAUUUUAUGAUUGUCCUUUUUGUUUCUUUUGUAUGAAUCCUAAGUGUCUUAUUGUUUUCCAUGGGCAGAAAAUACUUCCAUGAGAAAUUCUUCCCCAGAAAAUUUCCCCAACCUUGUCUGGUAAUAUACCCAUGUUUUUUUCCUAAUCUUUUGCGUCAAGCUUGGAAACUUCUGCUUCUGUCUUGUGCCCCUUAUGAUGGGUUUUGGAGUCAAAAUAAGAGACGUAAUGAUGAAUUCCAGAUAAUCCAUAUCUUAAAGUGAGAAAAUAUUCAAAAAAGAAUUUGUUGUGUUGAGAGGGAUUGCUUGAGAAGUUCAGGAUUAGGGAAUUAUUUUAUCUCAGUAUGGUUUAGAAUUCCAGUUUGGCAAAUUCAGGAUUCAGGACUGGCUUUGGGCUCAAAAUGAUUUGGGGUUUCUACUCAGAAACAUCCAAAAUUGAACUAUUUGACAAAUUUGGGGUGUGGGAGCUGUUCCUUUGUGGGAUAUUUGUGAAUGAUUAUGGAAUUGCUGAACUGUAUUACAUAAAUUCAAAUUUUAUUUGCUUGAUGGGGAAUUGGCCUGGGAAAAGAUAGCUGAUCACAUUAUCCCACCUUUGAUAUCAGCUGUUGCUUUGAUUCUCAAACUUUUAAAUGGAGAAAUGACUGUUGUAGAGAAGAAUAAAGGGAUAAGGUUUUGUUUGGUGGACUUGUUUUCCAUGUUUCUUCUCCUCUAAAGGUUAGGGGUGAAAGCAACUUAUAGUUGAUGGUUGUCUUCAGAAAUAAGCUGAUCAUAUCAUAGCUGACCGAUUUCUUCUUUGGCCAUCUUGAAGCAAUUUUAGUAUUUAUUUUAUAAGCUGAUUUUGGUGUCCAAGAAAUUAUUCUUAACAUAAUUAUUUUUUUUUUAAAAUAUCAAUUAUAUUUGAUUGGUAUUAUCAAUUAUGCUUUGCGGACCAAGCAUGACUCAUCUUAUUUGGGCCUCCCACUACUUUAAUCCUACACAGAUGACACAUUUUUAUUAAGAUCCAGAUCCUAUUAUCAUGGACUGGGCAAUGGAGGCUCAGAUCCGGCCGUAAUCAGACAAGCUGCUGGGCCGCCAUGGCUGCAACUACGGUUGCCUGUAAAAUGAAACCCAUUUCACAGAUCAUCCGGGUUGCCCCACCAAGAAACGAGCCCUUCAUAAUCUCUGAUUUACUUGAAAAGUAUCAUCAUAUCCCCUCGAUUUUCUCAUUGGGAACCAAACAGAUCGAGGACCCUUUGAAGGACCCUAAAUACAUCCAACCAAACAAUCAUAAAUAAAUAAAUAAAGAUGGACAUCACGGGUCCAGGGAGGGCUCAGAUCCGCCUGUAAUCAGACAAGAUCCAUGUUCGCCAUGGCUGCAACUACAGUUGCAUGUGAAAAAAAGGGCAUAGAAACCCAUUUCACACAGUCCGGGUCGCCCUUGGAAAGUGUCAUCACAGCCACUUAAUUUUCCUGCACAUUUUCUCAGCAACCAAAUAGAUACAGAUCCUUCUCAGAAAACACAUUUUAAAACACAAACAAAUAAACCAAAACAAAACAAAGACCAGACUCAGCGCGGAAGUGCAUAGCGCGUAAAAGGAAGGCUCAGAUUCGCCUUUUAUCAGACAAGAAAAAGAUGACCGUCCUGGCUGCAACCACAGUUGCUUGUGAAACAAGGCACAAAAGGUCGCCCAAACCAUCCGGGUUGCCCCGCCAAGAAACGGACAUUCCCAGUGCCUGACUUACUCUGAAAACGUCAUCACAGCCUUUUAUGUUGCCCAUAUGAACAGAGAGAGAGCGCUGUUGAUUUUCCAGAGAAUCAAGACAGCCUCUGAUGUACAUGUACACACGUGUAUGAGAAGCCCUUUUCUGAAGUUCCCAAUAUUUCCUACCAGUCCAGCCCGCGCACAGGAUACAAAUUUUUUUUAAAACAUAUGAUGUUAUUUGGUAAUCUGAUCAUGAUUUGCAGGCAAAGGUCGUGUUUUCCAGCCUGGCUCAAAAAUCGUGGAUUUAGGGUUCGUGAAAUUUAAAUCCAAUAGCACAAAAGCAAAGAGACCCCUAGAACAGAUCCAGAAAACACAGGGAGCAAAGAAAAAAACAAUUUUUUUGGUUUUCGUGGGGGGUUUUGCAUGGAUUUUCUCGGAAAUCAAACGAGGAUGAAUUUUCCCGGAAAUCGAAAGGGGGAUGGAUUUUCUUGAGAAUCAAACGGGGGUUGCAAAAAAAUAAUAAUAAUAACAUGAUUAGAUUAGUACCUGCGAGGAUUGAGAGUGGCAGAGGAAAAUAGGGCCUUUUUAGGGAUUCUCUCGUCCGGAGGGCAACUUCAGAAAAGGACUUCUUGAUGCCCGAGUGAGAGAAGUGGAUGGCCCUUUCGAUUUUUAUAUUUAGUAGAGAGAGAAAACAAGGGAAACAAAUCAUGAGAACAAUUUCGCCAUGGCUGCAACUACAGUUGCACGUGAAAAAAGGGCAUAGAAACCCAUUUCACAGACAAUCCGGGUCGCCCAGCCAAGACAUGGGUCCUUUCAAAUAUCUGAUUUACUUGGAAAGUGUCAUCACAGCCACUUAAAUUUCCUGCACAUUUUCUCAGCAACCAAACAGAUACAAUAUCCUUCUCAGAAAACACAUUUUAAAACACAAACAAAAAAACCAAAACAAAACAAAGACCAGACUCAGCACGGAAGUGAAUAGCGCGUAAAAGGAAGGCUCAGAUUCGCCUUUUAUCAGACAAGAAAAGGAUGACCGUCAUGGCUGCAACCACAGUUGCUUGUGAAACAAGGCACAAAAGGUCCCAUCGCACAAACCAUCCGGGUUGCCCCGCCAAGAAACGGACAUUCCCAGUGCCUGACUUACUCUGAAAACGUCAUCACAGCCUUUUAUGUUGCCCACAUGAAGAGAGAGAGAGCGCUGUUGAUUUUCCAGAGAAUCAAGACAGCCUCUGAUAUAUAUGUAUAUAUAUAUAUAUAUACACAC
RNAcentral lists this long non-coding RNA (77429 nucleotides) under Vitis vinifera (wine grape). RNAcentral describes it as "long non-coding RNA (VVIN_LNC003458)". Lineage: Eukaryota; Viridiplantae; Streptophyta; Magnoliopsida; Vitales; Vitaceae. The record is from RNAcentral.